This 62868-nucleotide long non-coding RNA is filed under the name Capsicum annuum. Its description in RNAcentral is "long non-coding RNA (CANN_LNC021401)". Lineage: Eukaryota; Viridiplantae; Streptophyta; Magnoliopsida; Solanales; Solanaceae. The record is from RNAcentral.
UGAGUUGCUAAUGGGUGCAUCAAGGGUACUCUUGAUGGAUGAAAUCUCAACCGGGCUUGAUAGUUCAACUACCUAUCAAAUCAUCAAGUACUUAAAGCACACGACUCGUGCAUUUGAUGGGACUACCCUGGUUUCUUUAUUGCAACCUGACCCUGAAACUUACUGUCUGUUCGAUGAUAUAAUUCUUUUGAGUGAGGGCCAAAUCAUUUAUCAGGGUCCCCGCGAAACAGCUCUUGAGUUCUUUGAAUUUAUGGGUUUCAAGUGUCCCUCCAGGAAAAAUGUUGCUGAUUUUCUUCAAGAGGUAAUUUUGUGAGUUCAAGCAUUGGACUGAUGCCAUAUUGAUAGUGCUCUUAUAUGGUUUGUCAUCUUGCUAUCUCCACACAGUUAACAUCUGAAAAAGAUCAAGGGCAGUAUUGGUUUCUCAAUAGCCCGUACAACUAUGUAUCGGCGACAAAGUUUGCUGAAGGCUUUCAAUCCUUUCAUGUUGGUAAUGCAUUGGCACUGGAGAUGGCUAUACCAUUCGACAAACGUGACAAUCAUCCAGCAGCUCUGUCCUCUAGUACUUAUGGUGUGAAAAAGUUUGAGCUUCUCAAAAUCAGUUUUGCCUGGCAGUUGCUAUUAUUAAAGCGAAACUCAGCUGUGCUCAUUUUCAAAGUCACACAGGUCUUAAAUUUUAACAGUUCUUCUGUGACAGAAAAUCUCAGUACAUGUAGCUCCAUUAAAUCCAAUUUAGAGUUAUACUGUACGUAGUUGAGAUGGACAUAGUGAUUUCUAUUUUGCAGCUCUUUCUGAUUAUCUUGAUUAUGAUGAGUGUGUUCUUCCGUUCAACAAUGCAUCAUGAUACACUUGAAGAUGGAGCUGUUUACCUCGGUGCUCUAUACUUUGCAAUUCUUAUGGUUCUUUUCAAUGGUUUCUUGGAGGUGCCUAUGCUGAUAGCAAAACUUCCCGUUCUUUACAAGCAGAGAGAUUUUCACUUCUACCCCUGUUGGAUAUAUACUCUUCCAUCUUGGCUUUUGAGUAUUCCCACAUCACUUUUAGAGUCCAUUAUUUGGGUUGCAGCUACAUAUUAUGUGGUUGGCUUUGAUCCUCAAAUAACCAGGUAUAUGUUUUUUUUUUUUUUUUUUUUUUUUUUUUUUGAUUAUUGGUUCUAUUUGUUUCUUCUUGUUUUAGUUUCUGUAUUAGCUUUUCACCAUGUUUGAUAGAGGUAAGACAACUCAUUUUGAUUAAUUACUUCAGGUGCUUCCGUCAGUUUUUGUUGUAUCUCUCAUUGCAUCAGAUGUCAAUAGGACUUUUCCGCGUGAUGGCAGCUCUAGGCAGAAAUAUGAUAGUUGCUAAUACCUUUGGAUCGUUUGCAAUGUUGGUAGUCAUGGCUCUAGGAGGAUUUGUUCUUUCAAGAGGUCAUCUACACUCUCAUUUUGGCUCAUUGAUAAAGUUACUUCACCCCGAAAGAAAAUGGCUUUUAUUCAAUAAGGUUUGUAGUUGAACUUUCAUAUUUUACAGAUAGCAUCCCAAGUUGGUGGAUCUGGGGUUACUGGUUUUCCCCUUUGAUGUAUGCCCAAAAUUCAGCUUCAGUAAAUGAGUUCCGUGGCCAUUCUUGGGAUAAGGUAAUUUGGUAUUCUGGUAUCUAUUUGUGUCUGUUCAUAUCCAAUUACAUGGUGUCGAAGGCCUUCUAUCUUGUAAAAUUCUUUUAACACUUUAGAAAUGACUACUAUAAAAAUGCCACAGCACUCAGUUGAUGCUUCAGAAAAAACUAUAUACUAAUGUAGCUCAUUUAAAAAGAAAAAAAAAAACUAGCUCAUUUGUUAAUCAGUAAUACUGUUGGAUAUAGAUUUACUUUUCUUUUUAAACUGGCAGAGAUUUAGGGACAACAAGACAUCUCUAGGUUUGAUGUUACUGAAGGUUCGCAGCUUGUUUCCGGAGGACUAUUGGUAUUGGAUUGGUGUUGGUGCAUUGAUUGGGUAUAUAAUAUUGUUCAAUGUCCUCUUCACGAUAUUUCUGACUUACCUCAACCGUAAGUUUCAUCUUCUAAAAUCUUAUAUACACUCAUCAUAUAAAGCUACUUUUCUGGUUCUUAAAGUUUUACAUUGCGACGAGUUUAUAGAGAAAGCCAAGCUGUCCAAACGAAUUGAGAAAAAGAAAGGUGUUUGGUAACGUGAUUGCUCUUAAUGCAAAUUGAUGUACUCGUAGCAGCAUAUACUUUCUUCCUAGCUGUAUAAUAUUGAGAUAUGCUAACAGUAAAUGAAACUUAUCAUGUUUUUACAACUUUUUGCAGCAUUAGGAAACCAGCAAGCAGUUGUUUCAAAGAGAAAGAACCACAACAAGGACAAGGAACAAGAGAGUGAACAUAACAUUGUUCCAUUUGGAGAGUUUUUGAACCAUUCACACUCAUUCACUGGUUUGUUAAAGCGUUUUCACUUUCAAGAUUUGCUUUUUAGAUUCAAUGAGAAGAUAUUCAUGACUCCAGUUUCUUGGCAGGAAGGGAGAUCAAGAAACGAAGAGGCAUGGUUCUUCCAUUCCAGCCUCUUUCCAUGUGUUUUAGAGACAUUAGUUAUUAUGUUGACGUUCCCCUGGUAAACCAACAGCAGUUCAAUUCUAGUAAGCAAUGAAUGUAGUUGUUCCACAGCAAAUUCCUUAUCAUCGUCCAAAAUUAUUUCUUCAGGAGCUUAAGCAACAAGGGCUAGUAAGUGAUAAACUGCAGUUACUAGUUAAUGUUACUGGUGCAUUUAGGCCGGGCGUGCUUACUGCAUUAGUUGGUGUCAGUGGUGCUGGUAAAACUACUCUAAUGGAUGUUUUAGCUGGUAGGAAAACUGGUGGACAUAUAGCAGGCAAUAUCUAUAUUUCUGGACACCCCAAGAAGCAAGAAACUUUUGCAAGGGUAUCUGGAUAUUGUGAACAGAAUGAUGUUCAUUCCCCCUGCUUAACUGUCCAUGAGUCACUACUGUUUUCUGCUUGGCUCCGGUUAUCUUCUCAGGUUGACGUGAAGACACAAAAGGUAAUCGCUAUAGUUCCUUGAACUUAUGAUCAUGUCAUAAUUUGUACAUAAAGAAUCUGAGGAAGGACCAUAUUUUUGCAGGCUUUUGUUGAAGAAGUAAUGGAACUAGUGGAACUAACUUCAUUACGUCGAGCUUUGGUUGGCCUGCCUGGAGUGGAUGGAUUGUCAACAGAGCAAAGGAAAAGGCUGACAAUUGCAGUUGAGCUUGUAGCCAAUCCUUCAAUAGUUUUUAUGGAUGAACCUACUUCAGGACUAGAUGCCCGGUCUGCAGCUAUAGUAAUGAGAACAGUGAGAAACAUUGUCGACACUGGAAGAACAAUCGUCUGCACCAUCCAUCAGCCUAGUAUAGAUAUCUUCGAAUCAUUUGACGAGGUUUUCAUCUAAAAUCUUGUUCAGUACACACGUAUUCUUGAAGUUAACACUGUAAUAACAGUUUUAGCAGUUAUAUACCAUAACCUUAGUUUUCAUUUAUGUGAUCCACCAUCACAUCGAAGAUCAAUCACAUAAGGGUAACAUUAAUCUUAGAAGCACUUGAAUGUACAUACUAGAUUUUUACAUGAAUAUGAUGAAUGAUAGACUUUAAGAUAUGAUUAGUACCUUUGGCUUCUAAAGUAAGACAUGAUUCUACUUGGUAUGUAUGCAGCUUUUGCUCAUGAAAAGAGGUGGACAGCUCAUUUAUGCUGGUUCACUAGGAAACAGAUCAUGCAAGCUUAUUCAGUAUUUUGAGGUAAUCCUUUAGCUGAUCAAUUCAGAGCUUGCUAUGCCUUAAAACUGUAUAAUAAAUGAUCCAAUUGUAAAAUUUUUUAGGCAAUUCAAGGAGUUCACAGAAUUAGGUCUGGACAGAACCCUGCUGCUUGGGUUCUUGAAGUCACUUCUUCAGCAGAAGAAAAUCGCCUUGGUGUAGAUUUUGCGGACAUUUAUAGAAAGUCAACUCUAUUCAGGUAUCUAUAUGUGUGUAUGGUGAAGAAACUAUCUGGUUUGCAUAUUUUAUAGUUGACUAUAUUUUCUGUCAUUUCAGGCAAAAUGAGGAAAUGGUUGAAAAUUUAAGCAGACCACAAGAAGAUUCAGCUGAGCUACAUUUCCCAAGCAAGUACUCUCAGUCCUUUUUCGGACAGUUUCUUGCAUGUCUUUGGAAGCAAAACCUGUCCUACUGGCGGAAUCCACAGUAUACUGCUGUGCGCUUCUUCUACACGGUCAUAAUCUCAUUGAUGUUUGGAAGUAUAUGCUGGAAGUUUGGUUCUAAGAGGUUUCUUUCUUGAAACUUUGCCUUCACCACUCAAAACUAUAUAAAUCCGUUUACUCAUUUGAUCUUAUGACACAUUUUGCACAAGACAAAUGUUACUCAAGUGUAUCCUCGUAAUCAGAAAACUGAAUGCAACUUCUUAACUUUUCACUGUUUCUGUCAAUCUGCCAAUCUUUUCACCACAGGAGUAAUCAGCAGGACAUAUUAAAUGCAAUGGGAUCCAUGUAUGCAGCUGUUCUUUUCAUUGGAAUCACAAACGCUUCCUCUGUCCAACCUGUGGUAUUUAUUGAGAGGUUCGUCUCAUAUCGUGAAAGAGCAGCAGGGAUGUACUCAGCUCUACCCUUUGCAUUUGCACAGGCAUGGCAUCUUUAUAUUCUUCGUGUGCUUUUCUAUAUGAUCGGAUGUAAGACUUGGUACGCGAAAUGUGCUUGCGAAUCUUAAGUGGAUAACCUUACUGUCUUUGCAGGUCACAAUUGAAUUUCCAUAUGUUUUCAUACAGACACUAAUAUAUAGUACCAUAUUCUACUUCAUGGCAUCUUUUGAGUGGAACGUCUGGAAGUUUGUUUGGUACAUAUACUUCAUGUACUUCACUCUUCUAUACUUCACUCUCUUCGGAAUGAUGACAACUUCAGUCUCUCCAAACCAUAACAUCGCGGCAAUUCUUGCUGCACCAUUCUACAUGAUGUGGAAUUUGUUCAGCGGAUUCAUGAUUUCUCGAAUGGUAAUGCUUUAACAUGUUUCUACCAUCACACACAAAUGCUUGUUAACAAUCUUAUUUCUCGUGUAUGUCGGCAUUUUAUCUGAACGAUCAUCAAUGAACUAGAUCGAAUUAGAAUAAAAUAGAUUCACUCAGUAACUUCCAUAAUAAGAAGAGGUGAAAUUCCAAAUGAUCACCGCAUAUGUUUUGUAAAUAUAUUCAGUUAAAUCUUGGAUUUUACCUUUUCACUGACUUUGUUGGUCUAAUUUCAGAGAAUUCCUAUUUGGUGGAGAUGGUACUAUUGGGCUAAUCCAGUUGGCUGGAGUUUAUAUGGACUUUUAACAUCACAGUAUGGAGAAGUAAAUGAACAUCUCCGGCUUGCUGAUGGUGUUCAUACAGUAACAGUAAAAAGGUUCAUUAGAGAGCAGUUUGGCUAUAGACAGGAAUUUAUAGGCUUAGCUGGUGUUGCAGUUGUUGGUUUCUGUAUAAUCUUUGCAGUAACCUUUGCUUUUGCAAUCAAGUGCUUCAACUUCCAGAGAAGAUGAACAUUAUAAUAGAAGCACAAGGUAAUAUACAUUGCAAAUGCUUGUUUUAUCAAUAGACUUUGUGCUCCCAAGAACUAAAAAUAGUCGAUGGAUGUAUAAAUCGUGUAUAAUCGGUAUAUGAUCAAUGUAUACGGCCUAAAACGUAAAUAGUGAAUCUGGCUGGCAAGUGCAUAUACUCCCUCCAUCCGAGCUUAAUUAGAAACCGAGUUUAACAAAGAAAAAAGGACACUUUUGAUAGUUGUGACAUAAACAAGCCAUAUACAUUUGUGUAGCCAUAAAAUACUCAAAAAAUAUACAUAUAUUAAGUGUUAUGCCACUUUAUUUGAAUUCUGAAUUUGCUAUUAGCUGAAGAAUACAAAUUUUGCAGUUAUUAGUUUAGCAAAAGAGCUAACAUACAUUUUAUUUCUCUUGCAGGAUUCUGUUUUUAGUUUUGACUCAUUGAUCAGCUUAAAGAGAAUAAGGAUUGCAACUACAUAUAUUUCUCAUGAAUUUCUGUGACAUUCAUUUUAUAUAUAUAGAUCAAAUUCUGUGUCACAUAUAUGAAGUUGUACAUAAGGAAAACCCUAUAUUUUUUAUCUCAGAAACAAAAAAAAAGCUUACAUCUUUUUUUUCACCUCUUCUACUUCUCUUGGCAAACACAUUUUUUAUUAGAGAGAUUAUUGUUUAUGAAUUUGAUACAAAAUGUUGGAGCAAAAGAAAUAUUUUAUUCCACAUUAGGAAGGAUGGUUAAUACUAAAUUUUUGGUAUAACUAAUCCUGGAAUUGUUUAUACCAGAAAAAAUCCAACAAACUAUGAAAUUAAAUGUUGAUUGAGCUUUAAUUUGAUUAUAGAUUAUGAAAUUGAAACUUAAAAGUUUGAGUUAUUGAAAUUGUAUUUGGAUAUUCAUUUUAACUUGAAAUUUUUUUUAAUUAAGUUUUGUAAGUAAAUGUCCCAAAAAUAUUGGAAGGAACUAAAAUAUUUCAAAAUCUGAUCAAAUUUCAUUGCUAAACAAAAAUUUGAAUAGACAAUUUGAAAACACAUAAUAUAUAAACAAUCAUUCAAACUUAGCCUCUCUCCAAAUGUGACUGUACAUCUACAAGUAACUUAAUUUGAUCUCAACUGACAACUUAAACUCCAACUCAUUCUCAUUGUGUCUCUGGACACCCAACGUCGCGUGACAUCUAAAUAUGAAAGUGUUUAAAUGAUCAUUAUGUAAAUUAGAGUGUCCAAUUGACACAUCAUAGACGACUUGAGGUGUCUAGAUAUGCAGAUUGAAGUGUGCUUGUCAGAGGUCAAAUUUAAAUGUUUAUUUAUAUAUUAUGCCUUUUUAAAAUCUGCCACCAACCCAAUCUUCAUACAUUUGCUAUAAUGAAUUAGAAAAUACAUCGGCUAAUAUAUGUAAAUGUGGGCUUUGAGUUGUAGGUGUCAAAAGAGUUUUAAAAUGAGGUGUAGGUGACACAAGUCUUAAUUAUUGAGUGAAUGUGACAAUUAUUUUAUUAUGAAUUAAGAAAGUUGAAAAAAUUUGAAAAUAACCCACAAGUUUUUUAAUUUACACUUUGAUCCAAAUGUUAGUUAAUAUAAUAGGAAAUGGAGGGAAAAAAAGGCGCGUUUCUCUCUCUUUUCAUCCGUUGUUAUUUUCUCUCUUCACUUAACUAUUGUUGUUCAUUGUUGCUGCUGCUUUAUUCAUCAUCUUUUACUUCAUUAUCAUCUUCAUCUUCUUCUUGUCGACCAUUGUUGCUGUUGUUGUUGUUGUUACCGCUACUGCUGCUAUCUAACCAAUUUCUUAGGUCAAAUUUUGUUUCCUACAUCACUUUCCACUUUGGCAUUACUUCAUAAGUGACUUUGGUAAGUAAAAUUAUGAUUUUUAUUCGAAUUUGUCAUCUGGGUACAUAGUUACUGUUGUUUUUCUAACAAUAGAUAGAACUCGAUCAUGAAUCCAACGUAAGUGCCCACAAUUUAAAUAGAUCACCCAUUUGGUGCAUUAGACGAGUAAUCUGUUGCAACAGACUAGUUAUUUGUUGUAUCAGACUGAUUAUCUGUUGCAUCAGACUGAUUAUCUGUUGCAACAAAUGACUAAUUUGUUUGGAACAACACAAAUCAACCCGUGCCACAAACCCAACAGAUAACCAAUAUAUUUCAACUCUUGCUAUUGCUACUGGAUUCAAAAUUAUUCCCUACGUUCAAUCAUCGACAUAUUUGUUGAGGAGAUAAUAGACAGAAUGAAAAUUAAAUAUUCACUCUGUCUCAAAUUACCCGUCCUUAUCUAUUUGGAACAACACAAACAGCCCCUACCACAAACCCAACAGAUAACCAGUAUGUUUCAACUCUUGCUAUGCAAACUGGAUUCAAAAUUAUUUCUUACGUCCAAUCGUCGACAUGUUUGUUGAGAAUAUAAUAGACAGAAUGAAAAUUAAAUACUCCCUCUGUCUCAAAUUACCCCUCCCAAAUUUUCUAAUUUAAUUUCUUACUUUACAUGUCUUUUUUCAUUAAUCAAGAAGAGAUAAUUUUUUUUUCAUGUUUUACCCUUUGGAUUAAUCACUUUUUCUUCAAAUUAAAAUAUAAACAUCAUUUAAUAGGGGUAUUAUGGUAAACUAGGCAUGUUAUUAAUUAUUUUUCUUAAUCAAUGUGCCAUCUCAAUUUGGGACGGGUAAUUUGAGACGGAGGGAGUAUGAAUUAAAAUGUCAAAGCCUUGCAACAGACUAGUUAUCUGUUGAAAUAGACUAGUUAUCUGUUACAUCAGACUGAUUAUCUCUUGCAUCAGACUGCGUAUCUGUUGUAAUAUAUGAGUAAUAUAUUUGGGACAACGCAAAUCAUCCCCUGCCAUAAACCCAACAGAUAAAUUAAUCUUGCUAUUACUACUGGAUUCAAAAUUAUUUCUUACGUCCAAUCGUCAAAAUGUUUGUUGAGAAGAUAAUAGAAAGAAUGAAAAUUAAAAAUGAAUUAAAACAUCAAAGUUGAUCAAACAUAAUUUUUUUUUGUUAAACUAAAACAAAUAAAAAUACAUACACAUAGACGAGACUAAAAGAAAAAAAAUCUAAUUAUUAUUAUUAUUAUUAUUAUUAUUAUUAUUAUUAUUUUUUUUUUUUNNNNNNNNNNNNNNNNNNNNNNNNNNNNNNNNNNNNNNNNNNNNNNNNNNNNNNNNNNNNNNNNNNNNNNNNNNNNNNNNUUUUUGUCAGCCGGCCAAUCUUUCACAGGUAGUAGCAAGGCCCUCCUCAGCCGUCGGAUCUCACGGAGCAACCUUGCUCUAACUACUCCUAGUUCCCAUUGCAGGUCGCGAACCUCUAUCCGAAGUUCAUUCACGGUGUCUCGUAGAAAAGCCAUGUCCCACACUGGAUCAGCCAUAUCUAGAACACAUAUGAAUUAAAAAAAAAAAAGUAAAAACAAAAGUAAAGAAAAGAAUAUCUGAAUGUAAUACAACGUAUACUAUAUAUUGACAAAAAAAAAACUUACUUGAGUCAGGGAAGAGAAAGUGGUGGAAGGUGUAAUAUGAAAGACAAGAUACAAUAAAUAAACAAAGUGUAGUUGAAUGAACGAAUGAGUAAGGAGGGACCUAUUUAUAGAGGAUUGAAUUUGAAUGAGUGGCAAAAAGGCGUGACUGUUCACCUCUAUUUAUUAAUUAUAUUUUUGAUUACUAUAAAAAGUUAUGACUUUAAUUAAAUUAAGAAAUAUUGUGAUAAGCAUGACUUUUCAGAUUAUUAUUAUUAAUUAGUUCUUUUCAAGAAUUGUUUUUACUGAGUUGUGACAACAGAUUCUAUAUCUGUUGCAUCAGAUAAUCUAUCUGUUGCAACAUUUAAUCUAACUGUUCACCUCCAUUUAUUAAUUAUAUUUUUGAUUACUAUAAAAAGUUAUGACUUUAAUUAAAUUAAGAAAUAUUGUGAUAAGUCAUGACUUUUCAGAUUAUUAUUAUUAAUUAGUUCUUUUCAAGAAACAUUUUUAUUGAGUUGUGACAACAGAUUCUAUAUCUGUUGCAAUAUUUAAUCUAACUGUUCACCUCCAUUUAUUAAUUAUAUUUUUUAUUACUGUAAAAAGUUAUGACUUUAAUUAAAUUAAGAAAUAUUGUGAUAAGUCAUGAUUUUUCGGAUUAUUAUUAUUAAUUAGUUCUUUUCAAGAACCGUUUUUAUUGAGUUAUCACAAUAGAUUUUAUAUUUGUGCAUCAGAUAAUCUAUCUGUUGCAACAUUUAAUCUAACUGUUCACCUCUAUUUAUUAAUUAUAUUUUUUUAUUACUGUGAAAAGUUAUGACUAUAAUUAAAUUAAGAAAUAUUGUGAUAAGUCAUGACUUUUCAAAUUAUUAUUAUUAUUAAUUAGUUCUUUCCAAGAACCAUUUUUAUUGAGUUGUGACAACAGAUUCUAUAUCUGUUUCAUCAGAUAAUUCAUCUGUGACAACAGAUAUACCAUCUGUUGGAACAAAUAGAGAACCUGUUGCAUCAGAUAAUUUAUCUGUUGCAACAUAUAAUCUAUCUUUUUUUUUUAAAUUAUCAUCAUAUCAUUAAUCAAAAUUUGCUAACUUUUUUAUUAUAUAAAUUAAAAAAACACCUUUUCAAUAACCAUUUCUUUAAUAAAAUAAUAACCAUUUUUAUUGAGUCCUGGCAAUAGAUUGUGUAUCUGUUGAAUAAGAUAAACCAUCAGUUGCAACAGAUGUACCAUCUGUUGCAACAAAUGGACGAUCUGUUUUAAUAGCUUUUUAAUUUCUUCUCACAGCUGAUACAUCAGUUGUAACAGAUGGAGAAUUUGAUGCAUCAACAACAUUGUUUAAUGUGUUUUAGACAAAAAAUAACUGAUUGGGACUUUUCACCAUUUUUGUUUUUAAAUUUAUUUUUUAAUAUUAUUUAUUUGUUAUAUAAUUAAAAAAAGUCACAAUAUUGGAUUAAUUAAUUAACUUAUAUGAUGAUUGUUAAGAAAAAGGUGAACAGUCGUGACUUUUUUCAGAGAUCAAUAUUUAGUGUCAUUGUAGAGAUCCAAUAGCGAUUGGACUUAACUUAAAGUGUGCAUUAAACUCCGAGAAGGCCUUCGAAGCCUCGCACUGCAUCAAAUAAGAAUAGAAAACCAAUAGAAAUUCCUCUGGCCUAAAUUUAUAUGUAAGAGUUGAUCGAGAAGAUGAUUAUACGCCAGAAGGAGCCAAAGGAGAAUGCCUGCGAGGCAAAGGGGAGUUAAUGAAAGAAUAAAUCAUCUGAGAGCUAAUUGAAGAAGAGACAUAGGGUAACAAGGAACUUCUAGCGAAUCUGGCUAAUGAAAUUAUUUUAAAACACGAGAAAUCUGAAUCAAGUGCAAAUAUGAAACUGUAUCCGGUAAUGUACAUUCGUUUGUUGUCUCUCUAAAAGAAAAAUAAUUCAGUUGGUCACUUUGCUAGGAAGUUGCGACUAGGUAGCGUGGUCGGGAUUAUCACCUAGAUAGAAAAUAAUGGAAGACCAAGAAAGCAGCCUUACGGGCAUCGAGGAUUGAAAUGAUGUACAAUAAGUCUAGAAAACUUGCGCCAAAAACAACUGCAGUUAAAAUAAGGAAUCUAAACUAAGGCAGUAAUUUCUGAAUUUUAAAUUGCAUCGCAUGCCUUCUUUUUUGUGGUUCCAAUUAGGUCCACUGCUGUUGACCUGAUCGAAACCACAAACUAGAAUAAAAGAUAGAUUGAGUGUCAUUACUUACUUAGCAAUAUGGAUUAAUUGAUUGUGUUUUCUUGCCUUAGCAUGCUUUCAACAUUCCUUAGAGAAGAUCAGAGGCUUGUUGUAGUAUGUGAAUCCCGAUAUUUUUAAGCUUGACUCCAUCUUUUCGAUUUGGUAUUCAAGCUUGUCAUUGCCGUCUUUGAAGUUGGUAUAGAGUUCCUGGGCUUUUGUGAGCUCGAUUAGGAGCAGUUUCUCUUUCAAAGUUGUGGCAUUAAAGAAGGCCUUCAGAACACUUUCUUCAGAAGCGUUAAAGGAUACAUGGAGGGUCGUUAUGUUUAUUUUUAGGUCAACAUAUGUUGAUGCACACUCAAGAUGUGGUCCCAACCGUUAAAUAGCUCACUUUUAUUGAGCGUUGCUCAAUGUAGCCUGCUCAACCAACCUUCAAGGGAUAUGAUAAAUUAACAAGCAAGGAGUUACGUAACGUUUGAUCUAAACCGACUCUACCAAGACUAUCAAAUGUUACGUAACUCUAGGCUCAUUACCCUAUAAAAAAAUUUGCCUGAGUUAGUGGACAAAUCAAACAAGCUCAAUCUCUCAUCCUUUCUGUUGAUCGCUCUUCUCUAAUAUAGAUGAUAAGAUAUUUGCUAUGCAAAAGUCUACCCCGUCAGCAUAAAUACUUGCCAGAGCAAAAAUGGCAUUAUAAACUCCUCUGUCUUACUCAAGUAUCCGAAAAGGAAAAUUUUCAACUCCUCUAUCUUGCAUUGUUGAGCAAUGUACAAGGGUCACAGAAGAACAACAUAAGCUGAAAAAGAUGAGAAAAUAUAAAAGAGGGAAGGACAAACUAGAUGCUAGAUUUAGUUCAUCUUUGUUUGGAUUGUUAAACAAAUAAAAUGCAAAUGCAAAUGAAAAUAUUUCUGCCUUUUCUUAACAAACCAAACAAAGAUGAACUAAAUCUAACAUUCAGUUUGUCGAGGGGGAAUAGGAAGGACAAACUAGAUGCUAGAUUUAGUUCAUCUUUGUUUGGAUUGUUAAACAAAUAAAAUGCAAAUGCAAAUGAAAAUAUUUCUUCCUUUUCUUAACAAACCAAACAAAGAUGAACUAAAUCUAACAUUCAGUUUAUCCUUUCUAUUCCCCCCCUUUUUAUCUUAUCACCUUUUUCAACUCAUGUUGUUCUUCUGUGGCCCUUUUACAUUUCCCAAUAGUGCAAGACAGAGGAGUUGAAAUUUUUCUUUUUCAGAUACUUGAGCAAGACAGAGGAGUUGAUAGUGACCCUUUUGCUUUGGCAAGCAUUUCUACUGACGGUGUAGAUAUUUUGUAAGACCCCAUAAAAUUCUAAGUUUAAAUUCAGCUACUUAAGGAUUUAUAAGGAAAUCCAACACUUAGAAUAAUUUUUACUGUGUUAAAUACACUUAGUCUCCUUUUAUACCUCCGAACUUCAGAGAUUUAUUUGACGACCUUUUCGACCUCUGUUUUUGAAUUUUCAAGUUGCGUUGUGAUCAUGGAAGUCAAGAGUACAUCUCGGUUGAGUUUCAGAAUUUUUGGAAUCCGUUUAAGGCAUGUUUGGAUUUCAAAACAGAAGCACCAUGCGAUUUGCAUGCGUCGCAUGCUCUAUAGCAUGCUCCAGAAAUUUUCAGCAUUUCAGGGUCAAAUUCAAACGAUCAUAACUUCCUGUAUAUAAUGAACUGUGAGAUCUUCUACCUAUCAAUAGAAAGAUAUUUGAGUCUUCUUUCCAAGGCAAUUAGUUUCAUUUAAUUUGCACAUCUGGGUAAAGAGUUAUGAUCAAUUUACUUCAGCCUAUCAGCCUGAAAAUGACAGAGGACAGCUGCGUCUUUCUCUCUUUCUCUAGGGGUAUUUUAAUCUUUCCUACCUCUAUAUAUACACACAAAAACACAAGAAUCAAUCAUAAUUUAACAACAUAUGCUUGUUUUCUCUAAAAAUUCAUCAAGAAUAAGUAUAGGAUUUUCAUAGAAGCUUCAAGAAUUAAGGAAUUUCACCGUUAAUCUUCAAGAAUCUUUCAUCUAAGGCAGGCAUAGUGUUGAUUCAUGGAUUCCUUUCAUCCAUGAAGCUCAAAAACCCUAUUUCAAAUCUAUAAAUCAUGAUAUUUAUGUUGUGGGUUGAUUAUAACCAUAUUGUUGAUGUAAAUUAAAUUUUAAUUCCAUGAGUCAUCUAAAAAAAUCAUGAAAACUAAUUUUUUUUGUAUUAUUAUUCAUAUGAACUUUAUGUUGAGUUCUUGAAAUUUCAAGUUGGACGUUGAUGACCAUGUUGUUGGUGUUGGAUGAUUCCCAAGUUAAAAUCUUUAGGUGAUUUUAUGAAACAUAUUAGUAUAUAAGUUGAAAUCCAUAAAUUUGGUGGUUUAAGAUUUGUUAAAUUGAUGAUUUUACCUAUGUCCAAAAUUGUACAUGUAAGGUGUUCGAUAAGAUGCCUAAGAAACUAGAAAUCAUGUAAUAUAGCUAUAUUGUGACUAAAUGAUAGAUUUAUGAUACUCCUCUAUGUCCAAAUGGUUUCCAUGCUAUGAAGGUGACUUGUAAACCUUGUUAGGUUGUUCAUGAACUAGCUCUAUGGAUUUAUGCCAUGUCUAUUUGCAAUCCCAUUUAUGUACAAGAUUGUGAUAGCCAUGUAUGUUAUGAAAUUCCCCAAGUUAUGGUAUUAUGGAUUGUUGAUGUUGGUCACGUAUUCAAGAAAGUUAUGCUUCAUUAGUUUCCUUCUAUCGAGUCCUGGGGGUACUUGUACCCAAAAAAUAUAGCUGUGUGUCUAGAGCCAUGUCAUGUUUUCACGAUAUCCUCAGUCAAGCCAUGUUCAGUAGAAUUCAGUCAGUCAUGUGACUCAGGAAAAAUCUCAGUAAUCUCAUGAACUCAGUCAGUAAUAGAAUUUGGUAACAUUUCGUCAAACAACAAAAUUCAGUAAACUCAGUCCAUGUAUCAUUCAGUUUAUCAUGUUCAUUGUCUGUUUAGAUGGGAGUAGUAAUUAGCACCGAGUGAACCCAAGGAUGGGAACUCACCUGCCAGUAGAGGGUGUGAUUCUUAAAAACAAUCUUUGCAUUUCAGAACUACGUAGCCAGCAUAGAUUGAGACAUUAAUACCUGUCAGUUGAGGGUAGAUGAGGUGGCUUAACCUGUCAGAUGAGGGUUCCCAUCAUUCUCAUUAGAGUACCUGCCAAAUGAGGGUCACUCAUAGCUUAUCCUUACCAGUGGCACGGUAUUGACACCCUUCCAGUCAGGGUACAGAUUAGACCCCAGCUCAGCUAUAAUAGAAAUAUAUGGGGCAUGUCAGUUAGAUAAUUACUUCCCACAGUCUCAGUAUCAGUAUCAGUAAAAGAACUCAGAUAGUUUUUCAGAAUAUCAGGACCGUCAGAUACAGUCACUCAUGUUAUCAGUUAUUAGGACUGUCAGAUAUAGUCAAUAGUAUCAGUCAUAUCAGUUAUCAGUAAACUCAUGAUAUCAAUACCCAGACUCAGUAAUAUGUAUCAUGAUCUCAGUUACAGUCAUUAUGUAUUUAUGCAUGUAUUCUUAUGUUUAUGUUAGUCAGUAUUGUUCAUGCAUAUGAACCCUAUGAAUUAGCUUACCUCACUUGCAUACUCAGUACAUUCAAUUGUACUGACAUAUUUGUGCUAUGGUAUUUUAUUUUAUACCAUAGGUUCAGCAACACGAGAUUCAGAGCACCAGUAGCAUUUCAAUUUCAGCAGCAGAGUCGCAGUGAGUCCUCAUACUUUGAGGACUAUUACACUAUCAUUACUUAUUUCAUUUGCUUUCAGUAUAUGGAGUUAGUUGGAAACAUGUUCCUUCAACUCCUUAUUCAGACAUAUGUAGAGGCUUUAAGAUUCGAUUCAGACUUUAGUAUUUUCAGCUGUGGUAUUAUGAUGCCGUAUUUUAGAUGUUAUGACUUUAUUAGAUGUGAACCUUAUGGCCUUACAGCUCUUAUGUAUUCCGCUUUAUCAUGUAUAUUAUGUAGUGUACAAGUACAAAUAUCAGUCAUGGGUUAGCUUGUGGUCCUUUGGGGUCAUGGGCACCGUGUAGCAUUUCGAUUACUAGAAUUGGGGCGUUACAAUCUUGGUAUCAGAGCCUAAGGUUCAAAAGUGUCCUAGGAAGUCUGAAAGCUGCAUCUAGUAGAGUCUUAUGUAUGAGUGUAUUGCGCGCCACAUUUAUGUACAGGAGGCUAUAAGAUGUUUUAGGAAUAGUUUCCCUUCUUUCAGUAUUCAUGUCGUGCCAGUGAGCAUAAACUUGAAUUUAAAUCUCCAUAUAAUCCUUCUCUCUUCCAUUUACAGAAUAUUUCUCCCAAGAUAUCUCAAAGAAGGGUUGCUGGAAAAUGGUCAGUACCUCAGCCCAUUCAGGCAGACCCCUUGGAUGAGCAUGUUUCUCAUGCAGAGUUCAGAGCUGCAUUUACCACUCUCGCUCAGUUGGUUGCUGCACAAAAUGCACGACCAAUAGUUUUUCCAUCCAACCCAGUAGCCAAUUCAGCUGCAUCUAGGAUUCGAGAAUUCACCCGAAUGAAUCCUCCAUCCUUCUUCGGGUCUAAGUCAGAAGAGGAUACUCUAGAGUUCUUUGACCAAGUUUAGAAGGUCAUGGAUAUCAUGGGGGUUACUUCUUGUCAGAGUGCAUAGCUAGAUACAUUUCAGUUGCAGGAUGUUUGUCACACUUAGUUCAAGCAGUAGUUAGCAGAGAGGUUAGACGAUGCAGGGUCAGUAGAGUGGGAAGAGUUUGCUGACGAUUUUCUUGAUAGGUUCUUUCCCCUUGAGAUUUGGGAAGCUAAGGUGUUAGAAUUCAUCCACCUCAGAUAGGGCAACAUGACGGUAAAAGAGUAUUCCUCAGGUUUACUCAAUUAUCCAGAUAUGCCCCUUAUAUAGUUGCAGAUAACAGGGCCAAAAUGAGUAAGUUUAUUUCUGGGAUAAAUGAUAGUAUGGUAAAUGAGUGCAGGAUUGCCAUGCUGAAUAGUGACAUGACUUUAGCCAGGCUUAUGACUCAUGCUCAGCAGAUAGAGAAGCAGAAAAUUAAGAUGAGGGAGAAGCAGAAUAAGAAAGCAAGGAUAGGUAGUUAUAACUUUGCUCAUCCCGGGUCAGGGAGUGGAAGUUAUUCUUAGUUUCACCUAAAAUCCUCAGUCCUAACUCCUUUUUCAGCCAGUACUCCAGCUCCUAAAUUCAGAGAUAGGGCACCAAGUACUUAGUCUCAGGGCAGUGUUAGCAGUGGCCGCACUAAUCCCCUUUGCCAAACUUAUGGUAAGAACCACAAGGGUAUCUACAGAUCAGGUAGCGAUGUCUAUUUUGGUUAUGGUAAGCCAGGCCACAGGGUCAGGGAUUGUCCCCAGUCGAGUUAUCAGCAUCAGCAGAACCGUUCGACAGCUCAGACCGGUCGCCCAAAUCAGCAGGGUGCCACUUCCAGUGCUACUAGUGGGCAACACCCAAAUCGACUCUAUGCUUUCCAGUCCCAACAAGAUCAGGAAAAUUCUCCUGAUGUGGUUACUGGUACGUUACAGAUUUUUCAUGUGCAUGUUUACGCUCUGCUAGAUUCAAGUGCUUUUUUGUCUUUUGUUACUCUUUUCAUAGCAGGCGAUUUCAGAAUCAGUUCCAAAAUUCUAGUAGAGGCUCUUUCAAUCUCUACUCUGAUGGGUAAACACAUAAUAGCCCGGCGGGUAUACAGGAACUGCCCAAUUAUGAUAUUUCAGAAAGUCACUUUAGCAGACUUAGUUGAAUUAGAGAUGACUAAUUUUAAUGUCAUUCUUGGCAUGGAUUGGCUUUAUUCCUGCUAUACCACAGUCGACUGUAGAAACAAAAUAGUUUAUUUUUAGUUUCUGAAUGAACCCAUCCUAGUGUGGAGGGAUAGUACUUCAGCUUUUAGAGGUCAGCUUAUUUCCUACCUUCGGGCAAGGAAAAUGAUAUCUAAGGGAUGUGUCUACCAUCUCGUUCAUGUCAAGGACUCUAGUUCUGAAUCUCCCAGUCUUGAAUCAAUUCUAGUCGUGAAUGGAUAUUCAGAUGUCUUUCCCAAAGAUCUUUUAGGCAUUCCUCCCAAAAGGAAAAUAGACUUCGGCAUUGAUCUUCUUCCAGAUACUCAACCUAUAUCUAUUCUGCCAUACAGAAUGGCACCUGCAAAACUCAGGGAACUAAAAAAAUAGUUGAAAGAUCUCUUAGAUAAGGGAUUCAUCAGACCUAGCAUAUCCCCAUGGGGUGCACCAGUCCUAUUCAUGCGCAAGAAAGACGGUUCACUUAGAAUAUGAAGGGAAAUAGACUUCGGCAUUGAUCUUCUUCCAGAUACUCAGCCUAUAUCUAUUCUGCCAUACAGAAUGGCACCUGCAAAACUCAGGGAACUUUAAAAAUAGUUGAAAGAUCUCUUAGAUAAGGGAUUCAUCAGACCUAGCAUAUCCCCAUGAGGUGCACCAGUCCUAUUCAUGUGCAAGAAAGACGGUUCACUUAGAAUGUGCAUUGAUUACUGUCAGCUCAAUAAAGUCAAGAUCAAGAACAAGUAUCCUCUCCCCAGAAUUGAUGACUUAUUUGACUAGCUUCAGUGUGCCAUCUAUUUCUUUAAGAUAGACCUUAGGUCUGGCUAUUAUCAACUCAGAGUCAGAGAAUAUGACAUUUCGAAGACAACUUUUCAUACUCGGUAUGGUCACUUCGAAUUCCUAGUCAUGUCCAUUGGUCUUACCAAUGCACCAGCAACUUUCAUGGACUUGAUGAACCGUGUGUUCAAUAAAGUCAAGAUUAAGAACAAGUAUUCUCUCCCCAGAAUUGACGACUUAUUUGACCAGCUUCAGUGUGCCAUUUAUUUCUCUAAGAUAGACCUUAGGUCCGGCUAUCAUCAGCUCAGAGUCAGAGAAUAUGACAUUCCAAAGACAGUUUUUCGUACUUGGUAUGGUCACUUCGAAUUCCUAGUCAUGUCCAUUGGUCUUACCAAUGCACGAGCAACUUUCAUGGACUUGAUGAACCAUGUGUUCAAGAAGUACUUGGACAUGUUCGUCAUAGUCUUCAUAGAUGAUAUUCUUAUAUAUUAUUGUAGUGAAAGUGAUCAUGCAGAACAUCUCAGAACAGUACUCCAGACUCUCAGAAAUCAUCAGUUGUUCGCCAAAUUCAGUAAGUGCGAGUUUUGGCUAAGGGCAAUAGCAUUCCUUGGUCAUAUUAUUUUCGGUGAUGGCAUUAGAGUAGAUCCUCAAAAGACCAAAGCAGUAAGAAACUGGCCCAGACCUAUAUCUCCAUUAGAUAUCAGAAGUUUCUUGGGUUUGGCUGGAUAUUAUAGGUGGUUUGUUGAGGGAUUUUCUUCUAUUGCAUCCCCUAUGACCAAAUUGACUCAGAAGAAAGUCAAGUUUCAGUGGUCAGAUCCUUGCGAGAAGAGUUUUCAGGAGUUGAAGACUUAACUUACCUCAGCUCCAGUCUUAGCUCUUCCAGAUGGUCUAGAUGGAUUCUUAGUGUAUUGUGAUGCAUCUAGAGUAGGUUUAGGUUGUGUCCUCAUGCAGCAUAGUAAGGUCAUAGCCUACGCUUCCAGACAAUAUAAACCUCAUGAGAAGAACUAUCCUACUCAUGAUCUUGAGUUAGCAGCCAUAGUAUUCGCCUUAAAGAUUUAGAGGCAUUAUUUGUACGGUGUUCAUGUAGAUGUCUUCACAGAUCAUAAAAGCCUUCACAAUGUAUUCUCUCAGAAAGAUCUCAAUCUUUGUCUGAGAAAGCGGUUAUAGCUCUUGAAAGAUUACAACAUGAGUGUUCUUUACCACCCAAGCAAGGCCAAUGUAGUGGUCGAUGCUCUCAGUAGACUGUCUAUGGGUAGUGUUGGUCAUGUUGAGAAAGAUAAGAAAAAGGUAAUUCUGGAAGUCCAUCAGCUUGCCCGACUAGGUGUCUACCUAGUUAAUUCUUCAGAAGGUGGGGUAUGUGUCCAUAGCAGUUCAGAAUCAUAUCUAUUUUUCGAGGUGAAGGAAAAGCAAGAUAGAGAUUCCAGCCUUGUCAACCUAAAAGAAUCAGUCAAAGAUCAGAAGGUUAAGGUUUUCUCCCAAGGGGGAGAUGGUGUCUUGCGUUGUCAAAGUCGUCUCUGUGUUCCAGGUGUAGAUGAAUUGAGGCAGCAAAUUCUUGUAGAAACGCACGGUGCACGCUACUCUAUUCAUCUAGGGGCUACAAAGAUGUACCAUGACUUGCGGGAGAUCUAUUGGUGGAGUGGGAUGAAGAGAGAUAUUGCAGAGUUUGUGGCUAAGUGCUUUAUAUGUCAGCAGGUUAAGAUAGUGCAUUAGAAUCUUAGUGGUUUCAUACAACAAUUCUCUAUCCUAACUUGGAAGUAGAAAGUUGUGAACAUGGACUUCUUGACGGGUUUGCCUCAUACUCAUCAUCAACAUGAUUUAGUUUGGUUUAUUGUAGACAGAAUGACCAAGUCAGCUCAUUUCCUUCCAGUUCAUACCUCUUAUUCAGUUGAGGAUUAUGCCAAACUCUACAUCAGAGAGGUGGUCAGAUUGCAUGGUGUUUCGUUAUCUAUUAUCUCAUACAGAGGUACCCAGUUCACCUCUUAUUUCUGGAAAGCAUUCCAAAAGGGUCUUGGUACCUAAGUCCAUCUCAGUACAACCUUUCAUCCUCAGACAGAUGGUCAAGGUGAUAGGACCAUUCAGACUUUAAAAGAUAUGCUAAUGGCGUGUGCAAUUGAUUUCAAGGGAAGUUGGGAUGGCACUUGCCUUUGAUUGAGUUUGCAUACAACAAUAGCUAUUAUUCUAGUAUUCAGAUGGCUCCAUUUUAAGCUCUCUAUGGUAGGAGAUACAGAUCUCUAGUUAGUUGAUUCGAAGUUAGUGAGGCCAUAGCCAUAGAGAUUGACUUAGUAUUCGAUGCCUUAGAGAAAGUUCAGUUGAUUAGAUAAAGGCUCAAGAUAGCUCAGAGCCAACAGAAAUCAUAUGUCGAUGUACGCAGAAAGGAUCUCGAGUUUGAGAUUGGUGAUUAUAUCUAUUUAAAGAUCUCUCCUAUGAAGAAAGUGAAGAGAUUCGGCAAGAAGGGAAAGAUUAGUCCUUGAUAUGUCGGUCCCUUCAAGAUUUUCAGUCGCUUCGGCAAGGUACCUUAUAAGCUUGAGUUGCCUUUAGAUCUAGCCUCAGUUCAUCCAUUCUUCCAUGUUUCUUUGCUCAAGAAGUGGGUAGGUGACCCAGCAGUUGUAGUCCCUAUUCAGAGCAUUGAUGUUCAGAAUAGCUUCUCUUAUGAAGAGAUUCCAGUCAAGAUUCUUGACUAUCAGACUCGUAGACUAAGGAACAAAGAGGUCCCUCUAGUCAAAGUUCUUUGGCAAAAUCAGUCCAUUGAGGGAGCUACUUGGGAAGCAGAAGCAGAUAUGCAUACCAAUUGUCCUCACCUCUUCUCCGCUAAUUUAGAUCUAGCUCAAGGUAACAGUCUUCCUUAAGCUUAUUCAGUUUCAUUUUCAGUACCUAUCACAAAAUUGGUAUCAAGUACCAUUACAUAUUCAGUCAUGCAUUCAUGUAUCAGUUCAGUUAUAUAAUCAUGCAUCAGAUAUGCAUUCUCAUUGUGAGAAGUUCAGUUCAUCAGAACACUUAGUCAUGCACUCAUGAAUCAGUUACACAUGCAUCAGAUAUGCAUGUCCAGUAUAAUAUAAAUUCAGCUUAUUUGUAAUGAAAUCACAUUUCAGUCACUCAUGUUCAGUUCAUGUUCAGCUUAUUGUUUCCCCUCUCAGUUAGUCUCAUUCGAGGGCGAAUGUUUCCAAGGGGGAGUUAUUGUAAGACCCCAUAAAAUUCUAAGUUUAAAUUCAGCUCCUUAAGACUUGAUAAGGAAAUCCAACACUUAGAAGAAUUUUUACUAAGUGUUAAAUACACUUAGUCUCCUUUUAUACCUCCGAACUUUGGGGAUUUAUUUGAUGACCUUUCCGACUUCUAUUUUUGAAUUUUUAAGUUGCGUUAUGAUCAUGGAAGUGAAUAGUACAUCUCGGGUGAGUUUUAGAAUUUUCGGAAUCCGUUUAGGAAGUGUUUGGAUUUCAAAACAGAAGCACCAUGCGAUUUGCAUGCAUCGCAUGCUCUAUAGCAUGCUCCAGAAAUUUUCAGCAUUUCAGGGUCAACUUCAAACGAUCAUAACUUCCUGUAUAUAAUGAAAUGUGAGAGCUUCUACCUAUUAAUCGAAAGCUAUUUGAGUGUUAUUUCUAGUGCAAUUAGUUUCAUUUAGUUUUCACAUCUAGGUAAGAAGUUAUGAUCAAUUUACUUCAGCCUAUCAGCCUGAAAACAACAGAGGACAGCUGCGUCUUUCUCUCUUUCUCCAGGGGUAUUUUAGUCUUUUCCACCUCUAUAUAUAUACACAAAAACACGAGAAUCAGUCAUAAUUUAGCAACAUAAGCUUGUUUUCUCUAAAUAUUCAUCAAGAACAAGUAUAGGGUUUUCAUUGGAGCUUCAAGAAUUAAGGAAUUUCACCGUUAAUCUUCAAGAAUCUUUUAUCUAAGGUACGCAUAGUGUUGAUUCAUGAAUUCCUUUCAUCCAUGAAACUCAAAAGCCCUAUUUUAAAUCUAUAAAUCAUGAUAUUUAUGUUGUGGGUUGAUUAUAACCAUGUUGUUGAUGUAAAUUAAAUUUUAAUUCCAUGAGUCAACUCAAAAAAUCAUGAAAACUAAUUUAUUUUGUAUUAUUAUUCAUAUGAACUUUAUGUUGAGUUCUUGAAAUUGCAAGUUGGACGUUGAUGACCAUGUUGUUGGUGUUGGAUGAUUCCCAAGUUGAAAUCUUUAGGUGAUUUUAUGAAACAUGUUAGUAUAUAAGUUGAAAUCCAUAAAUUUGGUGGUUUAAGAUUUGUUGAAUUGAUGAUUUUACCUAUGUCCAAAAUUGUACAUGUAAGGUGUUUGAUAAGAUGCCUAAGAAACUAGAAAUCAUGUAAUAUAGCUAAAUUGAGACGAAAUGAUGGAUUCAUGAUACACCUCUAUGUCCAAAUGGUUUCCAUGCUAUGAAGGUGUUGUAAACCUUGUUAGGUUGUUCAUGAACUAGCUCUAUGGAUUUAUGCCAUGUCUAUUUGCAAUCCCAUUUAUGUACAAGAUUGUGAUAGCCAUGUAUGUUAUGAAAUUCCCCAAGUUAUGGUAUUAUGGAUUGUUGAUGUUGGUCACGUAUUCAAGAAAGUUAUGCUUCAUCAGUUUCCUUCUAUCGAGUCCUGGGGGUACUUGUACCCAAAAAAUAUAGCUGUGUGUCUAGAGCCAUGUCAUGUUUUCACUAUAUCCUCAGUCAAGCCAUGUUCAGUAGAAUUCAGUCAGUCAUGUGACUCAGGAAAAAUCUCAGUAAUCUCAUGAACUCAGUCAGUAAUAGAAUUUGGUAACAUUUCGUCAAACAACGAAAUUCAGUAAACUCAGUCCAUGUAUCAUUCAGUUUAUCAUGUUCAUUGUCUGUUUAGAUGGGAGUAGUAAUUAGCACCGAGUGAACCCAAGGAUGGGAACUCACCUGCCAGUAGAGGGUGUGAUUCUUAAAAACAAUCUUUGCAUUUCAGAACUACGUAGCCAGCAUAGAUUGAGACAUUAAUACCUGUCAGUUGAGGGUAGAUGAGGUGGCUUAACCUGUCAGAUGAGGGUUCCCACUAUUCUCAUUAGAGUACCUGCCAAAUGAGGGUCACUCACAGCUUAUCCUUACCAGUAGUGCGGUUUUGACAUCCUUCCAGUCAGGGUACCGAUUGGACCCCAGCUCAGCUAUAAUAUUAAUAUAUGGGGCAUGUCGGUUAGAUAACUAUUUUCCACAGUCUCAGUAUUAGUAAAAGAACUUAGAUAGUUCUUCAGAAUAUCAGGGCCGUCAGAUACAGUUACUCAUGUUAUUAGUUAUCAGGACUAUCAGAUAUAGUCAAUAGUAUCAGUCAUAUCAGUUAUCAGUAAACUCAUGAUAUCAGUACCCAGACUCAAUAAUCAUGUAUCAUUAUCUCAGUUACACUCAUUAUGUAUUUAUGCAUGUAUUCUUAUGUUUAUGUUAGUCAGUAUUGUUCAUGCAUAUGAACCCCAUGCAUUAACUUACCUCACUUGCAUACUUAGUGCAUUCAAUUGUACUGACGCAUAUGUGCUAUGGUGUUUUAUUUUAUACCAGAGGUUCAGAAGCACAAGAUUCAGAGCACCAGUAGCAUUUCAGUUUCAGCAGCAGAGUCGCAGUGAGUCCUCAUACUUCGAAGACUAUUAUUCUAGCAUUACUUAUUUCAGUUGCUUUCAGUAUAUGGAGUUAGUUGGGAACAUAUCCCCUCAACUCCUUAUUCAGACAUAUGUAGAGACUUUCAGAUUUGAUUCAGACUUUAGUAUUUUCAGCUGUGGUAUUGUGAUACCGUAUUUUAGAUGUUAUGACUUUAUUAGAUGUGAACCUUAUGGCCUUACAGCUCUUAAGUAUUCCACUUUAUCAUGUAUAUUAUGUAGUGUACAGGUACAAAUAUCAGUCAUGGGUUAGCUUGUGUUCCUUUGGGGUCAUGGGCACCGUGUAGCAUUUUGAUUACCAGAAUUGGGGCGUUACACAUUUGCAUGACAAAUAUCUUGUUAUCUAUAUUGGAGAAGAGCGAUUAGCAAAAAGGCUAAGAGAUGAUCAUUUAAUUUUUUUACUAACUCGGGCAAAGUUUUUUGAUAAGGUAAUGAGCUUGGAGUUACAUAACAUUUGAUAGGCUUGGUAGAGUCGGUUUAGAUCAAAUGUUACAUAAUUCCUUGCUUAUUAAUUCAUCAAAUCCCUUGAAGGUUGGUUUAGCAAGAUACAUUGAGGAACACUCGAUAGAAGUGAGUUAUUCAAUGCUUGAGACCAUAUCUUGACUGUGCAUCAACACAUUUUGACCUAAAAACAUACACAACGACUCUACAUGUAUCCUUUAAGGCUUCUGAAGAAAGUAUUUUGAAGGGCUUCUAAAAUGCCACAACUUCAAAGAUAGUGUUCCUGAUCGAGCUCAAAAGAGAUCAGGAACUCUAUACCAACUUCAAAGAUGGCAACGAAAAACUUGAAUACCAAAUCGGCAAGCUGGAGGAAAGCUUGAAAAUUAUCAAAAUUUACAUACUACAGCAAGCCUCUGAUCUUCUCCAAUAAAUGUUGAAAGCAUGCUAAGUCUAGAAAAUGCAAUCAAUUAUAACUAUAUUGCUAAGGAAUUAAUGAUACUCAAACCGUCUUUCAAUCUUAUUUGUGGUUCUGAUUAGGUCAACAAAAAUGGACUUAAUCGAAACCACAAACAAGAAGGCAUGAGAUGCAAUUUAAAAUUCAAAAAUUUCUGCCUUCUCUUAGAUUUCUUAUUUUAACUACAGUUGCUAUUGGUGUAAGUUUUUUAGGCUUAUUGUACAUUAUUUCAACCCUCGAUGCUCGUAAAGCUGCUUUCUUGUUCUUCUUCUAUUAUCUAGAAUCUAGGUAAUAAUCCCGACAACACUACCUAGAUGCAUCUCCCUAGAAAAAUGACCAUCUGCACUAUUUUUCUCUUAGAGAAACAACAGACAAAUUUUUCAUUACCGGAUACAAUUUUAUAUUUUUACUUGAUAGAAAUUUCUCAUAUUUUAAGAUAAUUCAUCGGCCAUAUUCACUAGAAGUUACUUUCUACCCUAUGUAUCCUCUUUAAUUAGUUCUCAGAUGAUAUAGUCUUUCAUCAACCACCCAUUUUUCCUUGAAGGCAUUCUCCACUGCACCUUCUGUAGUAUAAUCAUCACCCCGAGCAACCGAACUAUAUAAAUUUAGGCUAGAGCAAUAACUACAUUGGUUUUUCAUUCUUGUUAGAUGCAAUGCUAGGCUUCGAAGGCCUUCUUAGUAUCCAAUGCACCCUAAAAGUUAGUCCAAUCACUAUUGAAUCUCUUUACAAUGACACUAAAAUUAGAUUCCUUCACAAUGCUUGACACAUAAACAUUAGCAACAAUCAACAUUAAAUCUUAACAGGAUAUCAGAACCAUAUUCAUGGUCCCUCGGCCUUAUCAGUUUAGACCUACCAAACUUAACUGUAAAAUUGCAGAUAUCUUAUUUGAAAGAUCAAUGACUAAUCGCUAAAAACAACAUUCACAAAAUCAGUGUACUCUAUGUGUGUUUCCAUGAUAACAUUAUCAGUAAUACGUACCUCCCACAUAUGAAGUGGUUUUAUCUACAUGCAGCUUAUUCCUCCAAACCCAUCUUUACUACAACCUCUUGUGUUGGUUGCCCAAAAGUUGAUCAACUUUUAGUUUUUUAUAUCUACAAAGAAGAGGAAAAAAAUAAUGUCAAAGAAAGAACUUUCAGUUCCUUAUAUCAUUUGCAACAGAUGUGGAGUCUGUUACAAAAGAUGUGGAGUCUGUUGUAUCAGAUAUGGAGUCUGUUGCAAUAGAUGUAGAGUCUAUUGGAAUAUAUCAAACCAGCCUUGCUGGUGGUUUGAUUUGUUCCAACAGUUGCACCGUCUGUUGCAAUAUCAAUAAUAGCAUAAACUAUAAAGAAAUAAUAAAUAAAAAAUAUCAACAACAAAGAAGCAACAACAUUUGUUCCAACACCAUCAACAACAAAGAAGCAACAUCCUUUUUUCCAACACCAUUAACGACACCACACCACAAGUUCCAACAAUGCCAACCCUACCAACAACAUCAAUAACAACAUCAACAACAAAGAAACAAACAAAAUACAUAUAAAAAAAUAAUAGUUGACUUUUUUUGUAUAUUGUAAUAAAAAUUCUUAAUUUAUUUAUUCAACACUUAAAAGUUCCUUCAUAUUUUUUAAAUAAAUAUGAUAUGGGUAAAUGGUAAUUAAGUAAAAAAUAGAUGUAAAUAACUUGCAAAGAAGAAGAUGAGAAUGAAAGAGCACUAGUGAAACAUACCUUAAAGUCAAAAGGGGAUCAAAACAAUAAUUUCAUUCAAGGAAAUAUAUGGAUCGGUUUAGAUCUGGAAGGAUCUUUUUGAUAAAGAGAAGAGAAAAGAGAGAAAAAAGGUUGUGAUAACCCUAAAGAGGAAAGAAAGAAAAAGAUGAGAGAUGAAUAAAAUAAAUUUAGGGCUAAAGCUGAAGAAGAGAUGAGAUAAUUCUAGAUAUAUUAUGUACGUAGACAUGGGUUUCAAUAUUCAUUAAUUAAUAUUCAUUAAUAAUUUUAGGGGCACGAGGAAGACUAGUGACAUUGAAAAGUUAAGAUAAGACUACCCAAUGAACUCAUUUUUGAGUUAUCCAAGAAAUAUUUUUAUCAUAUUUUGUAGUACUACUUUAUCUACUCAAACAGAAACUUGCUUUAAAAUUAACAGAAAAAAAUUCAAACAGAUAUGUUAUCUAUUGCAAUAGAUAGCAAUAUCUGUUUGAAAAUCUCAAUAACACAUUAUCUGUUAUAGCAGAUAUAAACAUCUGUUUAAAAAUUCUAACAGCUCAGUCAUCUAUGACAACAGAUGCAAAUGUCCAUUUGAUAAUUAAAUCAGAUAUGUCAUCUGUUACAACAAAUAUCAAUAUCUAUUUAAAUAUCCUAACAGCUCAGUCAUCUGUGACAACAGAUGCAAAUGUGUAACACUCCAAAUCUCGUACCCAGAACGCUACACGAUGCUCAUGACCCCAAAGAAUCAUAAGUUAACCCAUGACUGAUAUCUAUACCUGUAUGCUGCAUAAUAUACUAUAAAAUGCGGAAACAUGAACAUAAAAGGUCAUAAGGUUCAAACUGUAACAUAAUAUCUGAGGAAAAGUAUAACAUCUGAAUGGGGCAUGAAAUACCUAAAACAACUGAAAUAAACUAACAAAAUAUAAUAGUCUGAAAAGCCUCUGACUGACUGAACUGUCUGAAUGAGGAGUUGAUGAGACAUGUCCCUAACUAACUCCAACUAAUAAACUAAUUAAUGAGAUAAUAAAGAAAUAAUCAUGUCAUUGAAGGAUGAGGACUCACUGCUAACUCUGAUUGCUGAUAUCUGAAAUCUACUAAUGCUUUGGAGCUCGUGUCUCUAAACCUAUGGUAUAAGACACCAUAGCGCGAAUGCGUCAGUACGACUAAAUGUACUGGUAUACAUGUUAGGUCUGCUAAAUGCAUGGGGUUCAUAUGCAUGAACAAUAACAAUAAUAAAUUGACUAUCAUGAGCGUGAGAAUACAUGCAUGAGACAUGAUAACUGAUACUGUUACCGUGAUAACAUAAUUGUUAAAUCUGAAUACUGAUAACAUGAUAUACUGAUAACAAGAUAUACUGAUAACUGAUAUAACUGAAACAUGAGUUAUUGUAUCUGACAGUCCUGAAUCUAAUGGAACUAGCUGAGUUCUGUACUGUAUCUGAGUUGAUUAUAUCUGAUAGUCUUAAAAUCUGAAGAACUAUUUGAGUUCUUUUACUGAGACUGAUAAUGAAACUGUGGAAAGUAGUCAUCUAGCCAAUAUGCCCAAAUAACUCAUUAUAGUGGAACUGGGGUCCAAUCUGUGCCCUGAUUGGAAGGGUGUCAAUACUGCACCACUGGUAAGGACAACAUGUGAGCAACCCUAUACUAGCAGGUUACUCUAAUGAGAAUAGUGGGAACCCUCAACUAGUAGGUUAAUCCACCUUAUCUACCCUUUACUAGCAGGUAUGAUGUCUUAACCUAUGUUGGUUACAUAGUUCUAGAAUGCAAGGAUUGCUUCUAAGAAUCACACCCUCUACUGGCAGGUGAGUUCCCAUCAUUGGGUUCACUCGGUGAUAAUUUCUACUCCCAUCUGAAUAGACACUGAACAUGAUUUACUGAACUGAACGUGGACUGAGUUACUAAAUCACGUUAACUGAUAAAAUACUACUAAUAUCUGACAACUGACUGAGUUCAUAAGGUUAUUGAGAUUUCCUGAGUCAUAAGACUAUCUGAAGUAUAAGGAUCAUGUCUUGACUGAGAGUAUCAUGAAAACAUGACGUGGAUAUAGGCACACAACUAAUAUUUUAGGUACAAGUACCCCCAGGACUCAAUAAAAGGAAACUGACAAAGUAUGACUUACUUGAACACAUAAUAAUCACCAUAAUCCAUAAUUCAUUUAUUGAAGAAUUUCAUCAAAUCGGUGAUAGGCAGAAACUUGUACAUACAAGGGGAUUUCAUGAUAUCAUGCUAGUUGGGCAUUUUCCUUCAUCUAGGCAUUUAAUCAAACACAUGGUAGGCAUAGUAUGUGUAAACAACAUUAUACAAUAAUUAAACAUCAUGAUUCAAUUCUAAUUUCAUCAUUCAAGGGUUUCAUCAUAGGUUUGCAUAAAUCUAUAUCUAUACUAAUCAAACCCAUAUAAAAUUUAUCACCCAACAUGAAAUAGAAUUCAAUUACUCAUUAUCAAUAUGAACAAGAGCAGCCCAAUUAUGAAAUUCAUAAAGAAAAUCCAUAAACUUGAACUUAGAAAAGAUAUUCUUGGGCUUCAUGGAUGAAAGGAGUCUAUGAAUAAACACUAUGCAUACCUGGGUUGAGUUUCUUGAGGUUCUUGAACUUGAAGAAUUUGAAUCUCUUUAAUUCUUGAAGAAAAAUUGGAUUUUAUGCUUGGGGCUUAAUCUUAGAGAGAAAACCCUAAUUUUGUUGUUGUGAAAUAAUAAUGAACAAAUAAGUUAAGGUCGGAUAUAACUGAGUAUAUAAGCGGGUGGUAAAUAAUCAAAAUACCCCUGUUAAAAUUACUUAAAAAUACUGAGUGGGACAUGCGAUAGUGGGGUGCGAUGGUCCAUCGCUGGGUCGAUGGUCCGUCGAACUGGGACCAAAGUUGGGACCUACUGCCUUGAUGCGAUGGUGGGGUGCAGCGGUCUGUCUCUAGUCUGUUGGACCUCUCCGUCGUACUCAUCCAGAGAGCUGGCUCACUGCCUCAAUACGACGGUGGGGUGCGAUGGUCUGUCGCUACUCCGAUGGUCCGUCAGUCUUCAUCGUCGUACUUGGGCGGUUCUAACUGCCUGAUUAAAGUGUCCAUAACAUUUUCGACCGAUACCGGAGUUUGAUGAAAUUGGUAUAGUUGGAAAGUUAAUUCAAUUUUUCAUGUGCUAAAAAGUGAAAAUCAUAAAAAUAUCAUGUGUACAAAAGUGAAUUCAUAUUUCCAAUCAAGUUUCUAACAUUCUUGAGAUGAUUUCAAGCUAGGAAAAAGGUACGGGUAUUAUAAUAUCUCCCCUUUGAGAACAUUCGUCCUCGAAUGAGACUGAGAGUGAGGGGAAGAACUUAAACUAACGUACAUACUAAACAUGAAUAACUGGAACAUGAAUUCAUGACUGGCAUGACUGAUAACUGAACAUAUCAUACUGAACAUGCAUAUCUGAUGCAUGUGUAACUGAUUCAUGGAUGCAUGACUGAGUGUUCUGAGGAACUAAGUUUCUCACAAUGAGAAUGCAUGUUUGAUGCAUAAUUAUGUAUGUAAUUGAACUGAUACAUGAAUUCAUGACUUAAUAUGUAAUGGUACUUGAUACCAAGUUUGUGAUGAACACUGAACAUAAAACUGAGUAAGCUUAAGGAGAACUGUUACCUUGAGCUUGAUCUGAGUUGGCAGAGAAGAGGUGAGGAUACUUGGUAUGCAUGUCUACUUCUGCUUCCCAAGUAGCUCCCUUAACGGACUAAUUUCACUGAAGAACUUUAACUAGAGGGACUUCUUUAUUCCUCAGUCUAUGAGUUUGAUAGUCUAGGAUUUUGACUGGAAUCUCUUCGUAAGAGAGGCUAUUCUGAACAUCUAUGCUUUGAAUAGGGAAUACAACGUAUGGUUCACCUAUUCACUUUUUGAUCAAAGAGACAUGAAAGACUAGAUAAACUGAGGCUAGAUCUGAAGGAAACUCGAUCUCAUAAGCUACCUCGCCGAAACGAUUGAGAAUCUUGAAGGGACUGAUAUAUCGAGGACUGAGCUUUCCCUUCUUUCCGAACGUCUUCACUCCCUUCAUGGGAGAGAUAUUUAGAUAGACAUAAUCACCAAUCUCGAACUCGAGUUCUUUUCUACAAACAUUUGUAUAAGACUUCUUUUGGCUCUGAGCAGCCCGGAGUCUUUCUCUAAUCAACUAGACUUUUCUAAGGCAUCGAAUACCAAGUCAAACCUUAUAACUGGGACUUCACUAACUUCAAACUAAACAAUUAGAGAUCUACAACUCCUAACAUAGAGAGCUUCGAAUGGAGCCAUCCAAAUACUGGAAUGAUAGCUGUUAUUGCAUGCAAACUCAAUCAAAGGCAAGUUGUCAUCCCAACUCCCUUUGAAAAUCAAUUGCACACGCCCUUAUCAUAUCUUCUAGGGUAUGAAUCAUCCUCUCUGGUUGAUCAUCUGUCUGAGGAUGGAAGGCUGUACUAAGAUGAGCUUGGGUACCAAGACUCUAUUGGAAUGCUUUCUAGAACUGAGAGAUGAACUGGGUACCUUUAUCUGAGAUAAUAGAUAGCGGAACAUAGUGCAAUCUGACCAACUCUCUGAUGUAGAUUCUGGCAUAAUCCUCAGCUGAAUAAGAGGUAUGAACUGGAAGGAAAUAAGCUGAUUUGGCCAUUCUAUCUAUAAUAACCCAGAUUGAAUCAUGCUGAUGAUGAGUUCGAGAAAAACCCAUCACGAAGUCCAUGUUCACUUCUUCCCACUUCCAGGUAGGAAUAAUGAACUCCUGCAUAGGACCACUAGGCUUCUGAUGCUCUAUAUUAACCUGUUGAUAUGUAGAGCACUUAGCCACAAACUCUGCAACAUCUCUCUUUAUCCCACUCCACUAAUAGAUCUUCCACAGGUCGCGGUACAUCUUUGUGGCCCCUGGAUGAAUAGAGUAGCACACACCAUGUGCUUCUACAAAAAUUCGUGGCCUUAAGUCAUCUACACCUGGAACACAAAGACGACCCUGAAAAUGCAAAACACCAUCUCCCCCUUAGGAGAAAAUGUCUACUUUCUAAUUUUGGACUGACUUUUUCAAAUUGAGAAGGCUGGGAUCUCUAUCUUUCUUUUCUUUUACCUCAAAAACUAGAGAUGAUUCCGAACUACUCUGAACCCAUAUAUCACCCUCCCCUGUAUAGACUAAGCGAACGCCUAGUAUGGCAAGCUAAUGGACUUCCUGAGCUAACUUCUUCUUACUGUCCUCAACAUGAGCAAUACUACCUAUAGACAGUCUACUAAAAGCGUCGGCCAUAACGUUGGCCUUGCCCGAAUGAUAAAAGACACUCAUGUCAUAAUCUUUCAAGAGAUCUAACCACCUUCUUUGAUGAAUAUUGAGAUCUUUCUAAGAAAAGACAUAUUGAAGGAUCUUAUGAUCCGUGAAGAUAUCUACAUAAACUCCGUAUAGGUAAUGCCUCCAAAUCUUUAAGGCAAAAACUACGGAUGCUAACUUAAGAUCAUGAGUAGGAUAAUUCUUCUCAUGGGAUUUAAGCUGUCUGGAGGCGUAGGCUAUGACCUUACCAUGCUGCAUAAGGACAUAACCCAAACCUACUCUAGAUGAAUCACAAAACACCACGAACCCAUCUGAACCAUCUGGAAGAGCUAAGACUGGAGCUGAGGUAAAUCGAGUCUUCAACUCCUGAAAACCCUUCUCGCAAGGAUCUGACCACUGAAACUUAACUUUCUUCUACGUCAAUCUGGACAUAGGGAACGCAAUAGACAAAAAUCCCUCAACAAACCAUUUGUAAUAGCUAGCCAAACCUAAGAAACUCCUGAUGUCUGAUGGAGAGAAGGGCGAGGCCAGUUUCUUACUGCUUCGAUCUUUUGAGAAUCUACUCUAUUGCCAUCACUGAAAAUGAUAUGGCCAAGGAAUGCUACUGACCUUAGCCAAAAUUUUCACUUACUGAAUUUGGUGAAUAGCUAAUAAUUUUAGAGAGUCUGAAGUACUAUUUUGAGAUGGUCUGCAUGAUCACGCUCACUGUAGGAAUAGACCAGAAUAUCAUCUAUGAAGACUAUGAUGAACAUAUAUAAGUACUGUUUGAACACGUGGUUUAUCAAGUCCAUGAAAGCUGCUGGGGCAUGGGUAAGACCAAAUGACAUAACUAAAAAUUUGAAGUGACCAUACUGAGUACGGAAAGCUAUUUUUGGAAUGUCACAUUCUCUAACUCUGAGCUGAUGAUAGCCAGAUCUGAAGUCUAUCUUAGAGAAAUAGCUAGCACACUGAAGUUGGUCAAAUAAGUCAUCGAUUCUGGGAAGAGGAUACUUGUUCUUGAUCAUAACUUUAUUGUGCUAACGGUAAUCAAUGCACAUUCUGAGAGAACUGUCUUUCUUGCACACGAAUAAGACUAGUGUGCCCUACGGGGACACACUAGGCCUGAUGAAUCCCUUAUCUAUGAGAUCCUUCAACUGUUCAUUCAAUUCUCUGAGUUCUGCUGGUGCCAUUUUAUAUGGCAGAAUAGAGAUAGGCUGAGUAUCUAGAAGAAGAUCAAUGUUGAAGCCUAUUUCCCUUAUGAUAAGAAUUCCUAGAAGAUCUUCGAAAAAGACAUAUGGAUAUUCAUUCACGACUAAGACUGAAUCAAGACUGGGAGUUUCGAAACUAAAAUCCUUAAUACGAACAAGAUGAUAGAUACAUCCCUUGGAUAUUAUUUUCCUCGCUCGAAGGUAGGAAAUAAGCUGACCUCUAAAAGAGAAUACACUACCCUUCUACUCAAGGAUGGGUUCAUUCAAGAAUUGAAACUGGACUAUUAUGUUUCUGCAGUCGACCGUGGCAUAAUUGGAAUAAAUCCAAUACAUGCUGAGAAUGACAUCAAAAUCAGUCAUCUCUAAUUCGACUAAGUCUACUGAAGUGAAUUUUUAAAAUAUCAUAAUUGGAAAGUUCCUGUAUACUCACUGGGCUAUGAUGGUUUUACCCACUGGGGUAGAGAAUGAGAAGCGCUCUGCUAGAAUUUUGGGACUGACUCCGAAAUCGCCUGCUAUAUAGGGAGUAACAAAAGAUAAAGAAGCACCUGGAUCUAGCAAAGCAUAAAUAUGCACAUAAAAGAUCUGUAACAUACCAGUAACUACAUCAGGAGAAUAUUCCUAAUCUUUCCAAGACUAAAGAGCAUAGAGUCUAUUUGGGCGUUGCCCACUAGUAGCACUAGAGGUGGUACCCUACUGAUUUGGGCGAUCAGACUGAGCUGAAGAGCGAUUCUAUUGGCUCAGAGGACCUGACUGCGAACAAUCUCUAACUCUGUAGCCAGGUUUACCCCACCCAAAAUAAGUAUCGCAGCUAGCUUUGCAAGUACCCUGGUGGUACUUGCCACAAGUUUGGCAAAGAGGAUAGAUGCAGGCACUGCUAACAUUACCCUGGGAUUUAGAACCUGGCGCUUUAUCUUUGUUACCCUCCCUGAACUUAGGAACUGGAGAACUGGCUGAAGAAGAAGCUGGAACUGAUGACUUAGGACAAAAUUAAGAACGGUUUCCUCCUCCUGAUUUAGGCUGAGCAAAGUUGAAACUACCUGUCCUUGCUCUCUUAUUCUGCUUCUCCCUCAUCUUAAUAUUUUACUCCUCUAUCUACUGAGCAUGAGUCAUAAGCCGAGCUAAAUUCAUGUCACUAUUUAGCAUAGCGGAUCUACACUCAUUAACUAUGCUAUCAUUCACUCCUGAAAUGAACUUACUCAUUCUUACCCUGCUAUCUGUAACCACAUGAGGGGCAUAUCUAGCUAAUUGGGUAAAUUUAAGAUAAUACUCUUUCACUGUCAUAUUCCCUGCCUGAGGUUGAUGAAUUCCAACACCUUAGCUUCUCUAAGUUCUAGUGGGAAGAACCUAUCAAGAAAAGUAGAAGUAAACUCCUCCCACUCAACUGACCCUGCAUUAUCUGCCCUUUCUGACUUCUAUUGCCUAAGCCAAGUAUGAGCCACAUCCUACAACUGAUAUGUAGCUAGAUCAACACUCUCACUAAAAGUAAUCCCCAUUAUGUUAGUAACUUUUUGCACCUGAUCUAGGAAUUCCUGAGUGUCCUCAUCUUUCUUAGACCCAAGAAAGGAUGGAGGAUUCAUUCAGGUUAAGUCUUAAAUUCUGGAUACAGCUAAAUUAGCCAUUGGGUUGGCCGGAAUGACAAAUGUUCAUUCAUUCUGAGCAGCAACUGACUGAGCAAGAGUAGUGAAUGCGGCCCUGAACUCCGCAUGAGAAACAUGUUUGUCCAAGGGAUCUUCUUGGACAGGCUGGGUUCUUCUCUUGGGAGGCAUGUUUUGAAAUAAAGAGAAAAAAUGGAUUAGACCGAGAUAUUUACUUGUGAUUUUGCUCACAGUCAUGACAUGGAUGCUGAAAGAAGGAAAACUAUUCCUAAAUAUCUAAUAGUCUCUUGUACAUAAAUAUGGCACGCAACACACCCAUGUACAAGACUCUAUUAGAUGGGACUUUUAGACUUCCUAGGAUACUAUUGAACCUUUAGCUCGGAUGCCAAGUUUGUAACAUCUCAAAUCGAGUACCCAGAAUGCUAUACAGUGCUCAUGACCCCAAAGGACCACAAGCUAACCCAUGACUGAUAACUGUACCCUGUAUACUACAUAAUAUACAGUAAAAUGCGAAAACAUAAACAUAAAAGUCCAUAAAGUUCAAACUGUAACAUAAUAUCUGAGGAAAAGUAUAACAUCUGAAUGGGGCAUGAAAUACCCAAAACAACUAAAAUAAACUAACUGAACAUAAUAGUCUGAAAAGCCUCUAACUAACUGAACUAUCUAAAUAAGGAGUUGAUGAGAUAUGUCCCCAACUAACUCCAACUAAUAAACUAAUUAAUGAGAUAAUGAAUAAAUGAUCAUGUCCUCGAAGGAUGAUAACUCACUGAUAACUCUGACUGCUGAUAGCUGGAAUCUACUAAUGCUCUGGAGCGUGUCUCAGAACCUAUGGUAUAAGACACCAUAGUGCGAAUUUUUCAGUAUGACUGAAUGAACUGGUAUGCAUGUGAAGUAGGCUAAAUGCAUGGGGUUCAUAUGCAUGAACAAUAAUAAUAACAAACUGACUAUCAUAAGCAUGAUAAUACAUGCAUGAGGCAUGAUAACUGACACUGAUAUCGUGAUAACAUGAUUACAGAAUCUGAAUAUUGAUAACAUAACAUACUAAUAACUUAUAUAAUAGAUAACAUGAGUAACUAUAUCUGACAGUCCUGAAUCUAAUGAAACUAGAUAAGUUCCAUACUGUAUCUGAGUUGACUGUAUCUGACAGUUCUGAAAUCUGAAGAACUAUUUAAGUUCUUUUACUGAGACUGAUACUGAAAUUGUGGGAAGUAGUCAUCUAACCAACAUGCCCAAAUGACGCAUUAUAGCGGAAUUAGGGUCUAAUCUAUGCCCUAAUUGGAAGGGUGUUAAAACUGCGCCACUAGUAAAGACAACAUGUGAACAACCCUCUACUUAUAGGUUACUCUAAUAAGAACAGUGGGAACCCUCAACUAUCAGGUUAAGCUACCUCAUCUAACCUCAACUAGCAGGUAUGAUGUCUCAACCUACGCUGGCUAUGUAGUUCUGGAAUGCAAGGAUUUCUUCUAAGAAUCACACCCUCUACUAGCAGGUGAGUUCCCAUCCUUGGGUUCACUUAGUGCUAAUUUCUACUCCUAUCUGAAUAGACACUGAACAUGAUUUACUGAACUGAACAUGGACUGAGUUACUAAAUCCCGUUGACUGAUAGAAUACUAUUGAUAUUUGACAACUGACCGAGCUUAUGAUAUUAUUGAGAUGUCCUAAGUCAUAAGACUUUCUGAAGUCUAAGAAUCAUAGCUUGACUGAGAGUAUUAUGAAAACAUGACAUGGCUCUAGGUACACAACUAAUAUUUUGGGUACAAGUACCCCAGGACUCGAUAGAAGGAAACUGAUAAAGCAUGACUUACUUGAACACAUAAUAAUCACCAUAAUCCAUAAUUCAUUUAUUAAAGCAUUUCAUUAAACAGGUGGUAGGCAUAAACUUGUACAUACAUGGGGAUUUCAUGAUAUCAUGCUAGUUGAAAAUUUUCCUUCAUCUAGGCUUUUAAUCAAACACAUGGUAGGCAUAGUAUGUGUAAGAAACAUUAUACAAUAAUUAAAUAUCAUGAUUCAAUUCUAAUAUCAUCAUUCAAGGGUUUAGUCAUAGGUUUGCAUGAAUCUAUAUCUAACUAAUCAAACCCACAUAAAAUUUAUCACCCAACAUGGAAAAGAAUUCAAUUACUCAUUAUCAACAUGAACAAGAGCAGCCCAAUCAUGAAAUUCAUAAAGAAAAUCCAUAAACUUAAACUUAGAAAAGAGAUUCUUGGGCUUCAUGGACUAAAGAAGUCCAUGAAUAAACACUAUGUAUACCUGGGUUGAGUUUCUCGAGGUUCUUAAACUUGAAGAAUUUGAAUCUCUUUGAUUCUUGAAGAAGAUUUGGAUUCUAUGCUUGGGGCUUAAUCUUAGAGGGAAAACCCUAAUUUUGUUAUUGUGAAAUAAUAAUGAACAAAUAAGCUGAGGUUGGAUAUAACUGGGUAUAUAUAAAAUCAUGGUAAACGACCAAAAUAUCCCUAUUAAAAUGACUUAAAAAUACUGAGCGGGACAUGUGAUGGUGGGGUACGAUGGUCUAUCGCUGGGUUGAUAGUCCGUCGGACUGGGACCAGAACUAGGACCUACUGCCUUGGUGCGACGGUGGGGUGCAAUGGUCCAUCGCUAGUCUGACGGUCCAUCGAACCUCUCCAUCGUACUCAUUCAGAGAGUUGGCUCACAGCCUAGAUGCGACGGUAGGGUGUGACGGUCCGUCACUAUUUCGAUGGUCCAUCGGUCUUCACUGUCGCACCUGGGUGAUUCUGACUGCCUGAGUAAAAUGUCCAUAACUUCCUUGUUCGAUACCGGAUUUUGAUAAAAUUGGUAUCGUUGGAAAGAUAAUUCAAUUUCCUACGUGCCAAAAAUUGAAAAUCUUAAAAAUAUCAUAUGUACAAAAGUGAAUUCAUAUUUCAAAGCCAGUUUUUAAUAUUCUUGAGAUGAUUUCAAGCUAGGUAAAAGGUACGAGUAUUACAAAAUAUCUAUUUGACAAUUAAAUCAGAUAUAUCAUAUGUUACAACAAAUAUUAAUAUCUAUUUGAAAAUUUCCAAUAGCUCAGUCAUCUAUCACAACAGAUAAAAAUAUCUAUUUGAUAAUUAAAUCAGAUAUGUCAUUUAUUGCAAUAGAUAUGAAUGUCUGUUAAAAAUUUCCAACAGCUCAGUCGUUUGUUCUAACAAAUUUCAUUGCAAUUGAUUUAGGUAGAACUAGGGAUGAACAAAUAAGUUCAUAGGGUCAACUAUAACUUAAAUUGAGUCUUUGUAAUUACAUGGUGUUGGUAUUGUAUUCAACUUGACCCGAGUCAUCGACCGAUCACUUUGAGUUGAAAAGAUUCUCAUUAACUUAAUGUUAAGCUAGUACCUAAAUUAAUUUAGGUGGAACUAGGGAUGAAUGAGUUCUCAUUAACUUAAUGCUAAGAUAGAAUCUUAAUUAAUUUAGGUGAAACUAGGGAUGAAUGAGUUCAUAGGGUCAACAACAACUUUAAUUUUGUUUUUGCAAUUGCAUGGAGUUGGUAUUGCGUUUAUCCCGACUCGAGACGUUGAUCGAUCACUCUGAGUUGAAAUGAGUUCUCAUUAACUUAAUUUUAAGAUAGUACCUAAUUUUAUUUAGGUGGAAAUAGGGAUGAAUGAGCUCAUAGAGUCAACUACAACUUUAAUUGAGUCAUUGUAAUUGGAUGAUGUUGUUAUUGCGUUUAUCCUUACUCGAGUCAUUGAUCGAUCACUUUGAGUUGAAAUUAGUUCUCGUUAACUUAAUUUUAAGAUAGUACGUAAAUUGAUUUAGGUGGAACUAGGGAUGAAUGGUCUCACAGGGUCAACUACAACUUCAAUUGAGUCGUUGCAAUUGCAUGGUAUUGGUAUUGCAUUUAUCCCAACCCGAGUCAUCGAUUGAUAACUCUAAUUUAAAAUGAGUUCUCAUUAACCUAAUGUCAAGAUAAUACCUACAUUGAUUUAGGUGGAACUAGGGAUGAAUAAGUUCAUAGGGUCAACAACAACUUCCAUUGAGUUGUUGUAAUUGCAUGGUGUUGGUAUUCUGUUUAUUACGACCCAAGUCGUUGAUCGAUCACUCUGAGUUGAAAUGAGUUCUCAUUAACUUAAUAAUAAGAUAGUAUCUAAAUUGAUUUAGGUGGAACUAGGGAUGAAUGAGCUCAUAGGGUCAACAACAACAUCAUCGAGUCUUUGUAAUUGCAUGGUGUUGGUAUUGAGUUCUUCUUGACCUAAUUCAUCGAUCGAUCACUCUGAUUUGAAAUGGGUUCUCAUUAACUUAAUGUUAAUAUAGUACCUAAAAUGAUUUAGCUGGAACAAGGAUGAAUGAUCUCAUAGGGUCACAACUUCAAUUGAGUCUUUGCAAUUGCAUGGUGUUGGUAUUGUGUUCAUCUCGACCUGAGUCGUCGAUCGAUCACUCUGAGUUGAAAUGAGUUCUCAUUAACUUAAUGUUAAGAUAGUAACUAAAUUGAUUUAGGUAGAACUAGGGAUAAAUAAGCUCAUAGGGUCAACUACAACUUCAAUUGAGUCGUUGCAAUUACAUGGUGUUGGUAUUGCGUUCAUCUCGACCCGAGUCGUUGAUCUAUCACUCUGAGUUGAAAUGAGUUCUCAUUAACUUAAUAUUUUAAAGACUAUAUCUUUUAAAAUUUUAAAAAUUAAUUAAGAUCAAUUCGGACCAAAUUAACAAUUUCAAAACUUGUCAUUCUUUUCCAAAAUUACAAAUCAACACAUACAAAUCAUCCAUUUGCGUGAAAACUUUUUCUCAUUUCAAAUAUGAAGUUCUUGCUCUUCUCUCUAUCUUUCUCAACAAUACAGACAACAACUACUUAACAUAUUGCUCAACCAUUCAAAACAAAUUGAUUUUCUUUCUAUUUCUGACCAUAUAGUUGUUAUUUUUGACUUUAUUCUAACUUGUAUUCGUUGUUUUCUGUCUUCACAGGUAACAGAGUUAGAGAAGAGUUCUACAUUUAUUAUUUAUUCUCAAAAUUAGGGCUUUUUGGUUAAUGAUGAAAAAGAAGACCUUUAGUUGUAUUAUCUUUGAGAAUGAGUUAAUAAUUUUGAGUUUUGAUGCUUAAAAAGUAGAAAACACUCGAGAAAACCCUAGUUUUUGUCUUAGUGUUUGGUUGAAUAUCGUGGUAUUGUUAGAUGGUAUUUGUGGUAUUAUUGGUGGCUAUUGGUGGUGGUGUCGGUAUUUGUAUUUUUGGUAGUGGUGUCGGUAGUCUUGAUGUUGGUAUUGGUGGUGGUAUUGGUGGCAUUGGUGGUGGCAUUGGUUGUGGUGUUGGUGGUCCAUCUGUUGCAGUAGGUGGUAGAUCUGUUGGGAGAUAUUAAAUAGGUCUUCAAACAGAUUCCCCAUCUGUUCCAAUUGAUGGGUUAUUCGUUGGAGUAAAUUUUUGUAAUGUGACGUAGAAUAAUUUAUUGAAAUUUGUCUUACCUUUUUUUAAAAAAUUAUGCAAACAAAAAUUAUGCAGACAUCAAAUGCAAUGUAUUUUUUGUUUUUCUAUUAUUUGCAGUUAAAAGAUAUCUCCCAAAAUUAAAAAAAAAACUAAAACUGAAAGUGGAUCAACUUCUGACCACCCAACAAAAAAGGCUAGAGUACAGAUAGAUUCGGAAACUUCCUGAACAAUCUCAGUCAGGGCAAAAUGAAGCUGAGAAAAGUGAUAACUCCUUCUCACCAAUGAGGCAUGAAUUAAUAUCGAAAUCUAGCAUUAUCCUCCCAAAAUCAUUAGUAUCGAUAGGUUUUGAGUUGCGAUGCCGAUAGAUAGCUCUAACAAAGUAACUGGUGAUCUUGUACUUAAAUGUCAGUUGGGGAAAGGUUUUAACGAACUUAGGAGUAUUAUAAAGAAUGAAAACAUAGACAGAAUUUUUAACAAGAUAUGCUUUGCAUACUUUCUUAAGCUACCUGCGGACCGCACUCUUCGUUUCCCAAUAAGCAUAGUAUAUAGUCUUCUCAAGCACAGGAUCGAGUACAUGGGGGAUGAUAAAGAUUUGAAGGAGGGAAAAAAAGAUGGAUGAAAUUUGGAUCAACUACUGUGGCAUGCCGAUUUGUUUUGGAUUGAAAGAGUUUACCAUAGUGACGGGCUUGAGAUGCGAUCGCCUAGAAGAACUUUUUAUCAAGGAAACAUACCAUAAAGGGUCCAACAAACACAAGGGAAAAAAUAGGUUGUUGGGCAUUGUUGGACGUAGCUACAAAAUGGAUAAUUUGAUGGCAGAUCUCAAGGAUAAAAACAUACCAAAGCACUACAGGGAGAAAUUGUGCUUAGUUUGGUUUGUCCAUUCUAUUUUAUUAGCAAGAGACGUUAGGAAAGUCAUAGAAGAUGAUAUUUUGGUGCUUACUGAUGAUUUUGAGAAAUUUAACGAUUAUCCCUGGGGAUAUGACAGCUACUACUUCACUGUAGAAUAUUUACUAACAAAGCUAUCCCCAAAGACGAUCACAUUAUACGAAUUUCCUUGAGCUUUCAUGGUAAAAUUGAUCAGUAAUUUUACUCAUCCAUUAAUUUAUGUUGAAUAUAGUUAUUAUGACUUUUUUUUCUUGCUUCCUAUUUACAGUUUUUAGGCUUGGGCAUAUGAGACCAUUCCUCUCCUUUGAAAGCAGUUCAAGGUUUACUCGAAUAAGGUUUCUCAUCAAAGGAUCCUUAGGUGGUUGACUGCAAAUGGAAGUAAAAAUAUUAAGGAGGUUGAUCUCUUUAACCCUCCGGAUGCUGCAAUACGUCUUCUUUCAACUAAAAUAAUUUGCUUCAAAGAAAGAUAUUGAAAUAGAUGUGCCAUCUGUUGCAAUAGAUGGAUCAUCCAUUACAACAGAUUUUCCAUCAACUAUAAUUGGUGCAACAGAUGGGUAAUCUGUUGCGACAGACGAUCCAUAUUUCAUAAUAGAUUAACCAUCUAUUGCUCUGGUCCUCUGAACCUGAUUCAACAGAUUGCCCAUCUACUAUAAAUUAUGCAAUAAAUAGGUAAUAUGAUGCAACAGAUGGGUAAUCUAAUGCGGUAUAUCUUCUUUCAACUAAAAUAAUUUACAUCAAAUAAAGUUAUUGAAAUAGAUGUGCCAUCUGUUGUGAUAGAUAGGUCAACUGUAACUGGUGCAACAGAUAGGUAAUCUGUUGUGACAAACGAUCUAUAUUUCAUAAUAGAUUACCGAUUUAUUUAUCUGGUUCUCUGAACCUAACUCAAUAGAUUAACUAUCUACUACACAGAUGGGUAAUCUGAUGUAACAUAUUAUCAAUCUAUCACGAUAUACAGGUCAGUUGUUGUGGUAGCUAGAUCAUCUAUUUCAUAAGUUCGCUAUGUUAACAUGUAACCCAACUGACUAUAAAUUAUUAUUAUAUGAUUUAAAUGCCUCUUGUCUUUUUUUGUAGGUUGUGCAUCCUUAAAUCGUGCUUACUGUUCAUGAGUUAGGGAUGACUUUUUUUUUUACUCAAGGUCUUGUUGAUACAAAAGAACACUCAAUGGUGGAGUUAAUAAAGAAGAAAAUGGCUGGAGAAACAACCAUAAGAAGAGCAGUUAGGUAAGGUUAGCCUAAUAUUGAAGCUCUUCACGACCAACCUACUACAACAUAUCUGGGUGCUUCUUCUGAGGGUGUUGCUGAUGGAGUUGUUGAUGAUGGUGGCAGCUAUCCUUCUGCUGCUACUACCAGUCAUGAUUAUGAGCAUGUUGGUUCUUAGGAUAAAAUAAAUACGUUUGAAAACACCCCCUGCACAUUUCCUUCUCACCCCUACACCGGUCGCACCCACCCUUACAAUGGUCUCUCUUACCCCUCUUUACCCUCGUGUUCUCAUUAAAAAUACAAAGUGUGCAAGGACAGAGAUGAUAAACUCCUUUAAAAACUAGAGGCUAUUAUUGAAGUUGCCGAGGAGUUAAAAUCCAAGAGGGGUGUCAUACCAUACAAGAAGCUGAGGGAGCCAUACACUCCUACAAUGGCGGUUAGGAAGAAGACAAGAAACAUUAGAUAAAUACUCUCCAUUUUCCUCCCGCUCCAAGAGUUGUUGAAGUUCAGGGGCCGCUGGAGAAGGUGGACAUAUACACGACACUUGGCUACGAAAAGAAGAAGGAACUACAAGAAAUCAUGAAUGACAAGACAAAGGUUCCAGAAUAAUACACCAUGCAUUCAUUUGCCGCCAAAGACUUCACGAAUAUGACAAAGAUGCAUAAGUGGUACGUGGGCAAAGUAAGUUUACUUUUGCUAACCUAGAAUUCCUAUCUACUCCAUGAAGAAGAAGAUAUGCAAUAGAUGUGUAAUCUGUUACAAUAUAAUACACAUCUGUUGCAUAAGUUGCGUUAGCUGGGUAAUUUAUGAACUGAUUCAGAGAAUCCUCUACAACAGAAUCUUUCCACUAUAUUUUUAUUCUUUACAAUUACUAACCUAUUUAAAAAUUAUCUUCUUAUACCACAGUAUAUUAAUGAAAUUCUCUGCCUCAUGAGGGGCAGGCAAUUAGCAUACUCAGAUUCUUAUGAUGCUGCUGAUAGGAUAAUAUAUCUCAAUUUCUACAAUAAUUUCAAGGAUAGGUACUAUGAUCUCCACAGGCGAUCUGGUCCCGGUGGCCAUAGAUUUGAUAAGUUAGUUUCUACAUUCGAAUGGGAUGAAGACAUGAUUAAAUAUGUUAGAGUGAAGAGGCCAUAUCCACAUGGAAAGAGCUGGACCAAGGCAAAAAGAAUCCUUGCAGUUAUGAACGUGGAAGUCAAAUAUUUUCUCGCUAUUGAGAUACUACUCGACGAGGAAAAGAUUAAGGUUUAUGGAUGCAACUUACCUGUCUUCAACGAGGACACGUUUUUAACCUAUGUGCAGCCACUCUUGAAGUUGUUCCCCAAGUUGUUGACGUAGAGUAAGCUGAUAGAUCAUUUGUCGGCGGAAGUCUUAAUGAAGGAAUUAUGGGUUUUUGAAGGUCGAAAUAAGAACAUCUAACUCCCAAAAAAUAAAACUGGUGCAAUGUGCGGGUCAUACUCGCUUGCAUACAUCGAGUGUUUGCUGACCGACACAGAAAUGACCGAUAUGUGCAACGCCGUUGUGAGAAAGAUGCAAGAGGUAUGGGAUUAUGGGGUACUAACUAAAUGGUUGAAGAUCGUUUAUAAAGAAGAAUAUGUACAAGGAUAAAGACGUGCAUGAUAAUAAUUUUUUAUUUCAAGCCACUUCACUUUAUAUGUAGUGGCAAUAAUUUUUAUGUAUGGCAAAAGUUAAAUUCUUAUAAUGUAAUAGAUUGUCUAUCUGUUGUAACAGAUAUAAUACUUGUUGUGAUAGAUUGAUUAUCUAUUGGAAUAGGUUGGUCAUCUGUUGCAUUUUGCAGAUGUUUUUCGUCUAUAUGUUGCAAUAAAUAUACAAUCUGUUGCAACAUAUAAUCUAUCUGUUGUAACUGAUAGGUAAUCUGUUGGAAUAAAUUGAAAAAUAGGAAGGCCUAUUUAUAUAUUUCCAGCAGAUGACCUAACUAAAUGGUUGGAGCCUGUGUAUAAAGAAGAAUAUGUACAAAGACAGAGAUGUACACACUAAUCAUUUUUUAUUUCAAGCCACUUCACUUUACAUUAGUGGUAGUAAUUUUUAUGUAUGCCAAAAGUUAAAUUUUAAUAAUGCAAUUGAUUGUCUAUCUAUUGUAACAGAUAUAAUAUCUGUUAUGAUAGAUUAAUUAUCUGUUGGAAUAGGUUGGUCAUCUAUUGCAUUACGCAGAUGAUUCCUAGUAUAUCUGUCGCAACAGAUAUACAAUCUGUUGCAACAUAUAAUCUAUCUGUUGCAACUAAUAGGUAAUUUGUUGAAACAAAUCAAAAAAAUAGGAAGACCUGUUUAUAUAAUUUUCACCACAUGACCUACAUAUUGCAACAUAUGUCUUAAUCUGUUUGAUAAGAUAUGUCAUCUGUUGCAACAUAUGUAUUAUCUGUUGUGAUAUUUGAGUCUAGUAUUCUAUUUCAAUCAACAUGUUCAAAACUAAGGAUUAAAUUAUAUUCAUAGACAGUAUAAAAUAAAUCGAAGUCUUUGAAAAUUACAUGAAAUAGCUCAACAAAUAAAUGAAAUGUAAAAAAUAUAUUAUGGGUACAAAUGAUCUACUCUAUAAAUAAAUCAACAAGUUAAACUAAGGAGAAUAGGUUAUUACAUUGAUGGACUCAAGAUUUAAAGAUCUAAUCAAUAUGGACAAGUUGUUCUUCAUUCGGUGUUACGAAAUUCGGCUUUGAUCGUCGUGGAUCUUUAAUGUCGCUUGCGUAUGGCUUCUAAGCUUUUGCUUCUCUGUAUUUCUAUAAAAGAGUGGCAUAUCUUUUACAGAGUAAUCCGACAUCAAUUACAUCAUUUGGUACUUGUAAUACAUCGCUCAAAUACUCGACGUAAGUGGCAACAAAAGGACCACAACCCCUACAUUUAAAAAAAAACAAAUAAUCCAUAUCUUGUUGUUCAUGUAAACGUUGUGAAAUUUAUGAAAUGAAACUAAAUCAUGAUACUUAUACUUAUAAGCUACCAAUGGUUUGUUGAGCAAUUCCUUCAAAAUAUUGUACAUCAAAUGGAUUACUCAUUUUAUCCCGGUGUGCUUCAAUCGUCGAUCAAUCAGUAUGAACCUUUUGGUCCAAAAAGCCACUCAUAUCAAGGUAAGUAGGCAAUAUUUUGGCUAGAUUUUGUAUCUCAGAUGACGGCCCGGAACGUCUCCUUCGCGAUAUCGAGUCAUAAACUUGGAUGCACCUUUUUUUUAGAACGACGAUUGCCAACAUCGAAUGGAAUUCAUCACCACAAUCAAUUGGGAUGUACACUUCGUCGAUUGAAUGCCAAGGUAAGCCAGCUGGAAUGCUAAAACCUUUGAUGAUGUUGAUUAAGCUUUUCUUAUUUCUGAAAACUUUCGGCUGUUGUUGACAAUACCUAUUGUAGGAAUUAUUGAUGUAAACUUUGUUUAAACAAUUGGUUUUCAUGUAUCUGCAUUGUUCUGGUGUUUGCAACUUGGACUUCUUUCGGAGGUAGUAAAAAAUGACAUCGAUGUGCUACACAUAUUAUCAAAUAUUUUGAAUUACGUGAUGAAAAAAUUAAUACACAGAUGCAACUAAAUAAAGUAUUAAUUAAUAGUAAUAUGCAUGGCAAACCUCAUCAUUCUAGCAAGUUUGGGGCUGUGACAUCAAAUAGAAUCAAUUCUUCAUUCUAGGAUCUGCAACAACAAAGUCGAACAUAUCAAAACCAAGACUCGAUUCAUUCACUUUGUAGUGUUCGUCAUUUUGUUUUCUACAUGAUGAUUUAUAUGUGUUAAUGUCAUGUUCUUACAAUAAGAAUUGUAUAAAUCAAUAUCUUUAAAGUUGAUUUAUGUACCUACGGUCAUGAUGCUUUAACAGCCCAUCGGCAAUCCAUUCUGAAUAGUCAUUGAUCAACUUUGUUAGUUUUUUUGAAGCCUCGUCUGAGGUAUUUAACCCUUCAAAUGGGUAAUUCUUUCGUUCUUCCGAACUGAUAGGAUCCAUAUUUUCUUCUUCUUUCAAAAUAGUUGAUGGAUUAUCAACUGUGAUAUUAUGCUCUUCAGCAGUAGAUUCUGCUGUGACAUCCACCUAAAAAGCCAGAAUUGUUAAUGAUAAUAACAUAUAUGCAACAGAUUUUUCAUCUGUUGUAAUAGAUGAGUCUUAUAUUACAACAGAUGGAUCAUCUGUUGAAACAAAUUUGAACAAGUAAAAUAGAGCAGUACGAUAAUUUUGGUGCAAGACAAAGAUAGAGGCAUUGCAAUUUUGCUUUUUUCGAUGCUUGGUACUGCCUUAGAAAUAUCUUUCCUUCUCCUCUUAGCCACCUUGAUCUCUAGUGGAGUGUAUGGAUAUGAAGUCCUCUUUGAUAGAAUGACACCUCUCUUAGAUGUCAUUUCCUUUAUAGAAAUAGUUAGUGCAUUAAUAGCAUUAAUCACUCCAUCUUGUUUUGCCUUGUAGUUAAAGGCCUGAAAACAUGCCCAACAAUAUUUAAUAAACAUCUGCAACAUUCUGCAAAAUCUCUACUGACAUACUAUCUGAAUAACUGGGACAAGGCCCCCAGCAGACCAAAAACCAUACUGAAAUAAAUACCUAAAUGACUAGGCCUUCCGAAGCAAAGAAGGCUCACCAACUGAACUCUGAGACAACCCUGUCUGUAGACUCUACUGAGGAUUGGGACACCUAGACUGCGCCUCAGUACCUGGGAAGAAGUGGGGGGUCAGCACAAUUGUACUGGCACGCGAAGCAAUCCAAAAUAGAGUAAUUGAACAUAUAUAUAUAUAUAUAUAAUACGUGAGAGCAAAUAUUCAUCAAAUAUUAUGCAUAAAAAAGUUUCUGAAAAACACAUGGGAACCUUCUAAAAACAUGUAACCUGUCUGUAAAUCUCAAAUUUUGAUUUGUGUAUUACUUCUAAGUUAGGUGGUAUCCCCUACAAGUCUGAUAUUCCACGGGCGAUAUGGAAUCCGCCAUUGACUCGGCGGAGAAGCCUCCAACCCGAGUAUGCCGCAAGGGUUGGAGUUCCUGAAUCUGAUACGCCAUACGACACUUAAGUCAGCGUAUAAUAAUAUACCCGAGUCGGAAAACCACGAUUUUAGGCAAUGAGUUGCUUGAACUCAAGCCCUCUUUAGGGAACCACCUAAUAUCUCUGUAUGACCAUUUUUAACCUUUUCUGUACAUGCAACAUUCUGAAUAUCUAAAAUCAUGAUAGUCUGAAUGUCUAUUAGUCUGAGUUUGAUAUGACAUUGGUUUGAAUUGGUAUCUUCAUACAAAGACUUGCAAUUCAUGAUUUUUGAUCCAUAAUACAUUAAGCUAAAUCUUUCAUUUAAAGCAUAAUUUAGACUACCAAAAACAUGCAACUNNNNNNNNNNNNNNNNNNNNNNNNNNNNNNNNNNNNNNNNNNNNNNNNNNNNNNNNNNNNNNNNNNNNNNNNNNNNNNNNNNNNNNNNNNNNNNNNNNNNNNNNNNNNNNNNNNNNNNNNNNNNNNNNNNNNNNNNNNNNNNNNNNNNNNNNNNNNNNNNNNNNNNNNNNNNNNNNNNNNNNNNNNNNNNNNNNNNNNNNNNNNNNNNNNNNNNNNNNNNNNNNNNNNNNNNNNNNNNNNNNNNNNNNNNNNNNNNNNNNNNNNNNNNNNNNNNNNNNNNNNNNNNNNNNNNNNNNNNNNNNNNNNNNNNNGGAUGCAUUGCAAAACAAUUCAUAUGCUAUGAGAAAUCUGAAAAAUUCAUAAUAAGAGGGAAUUCACCAAAAAUCAUGCUCUCAACAAGAAUUCAUUCUUAAAUACAUGGUUUCAUACAUUCAUAUUCUCAAAUCACUUUGGGGAAGGUCAAAAGACCAAAACAAUGAUGUUAAAACAUUUAAUACAUGAAUAUAUACAUAGAUUCAAAACCCCCAUUCUAAAACGUGAUUUUUAUAUGCCCAUGAGAAUUUAGAAAACCCCCGCGUACCUCUAUUUCAAAAAAUAAUGGGUGCUUCUUGAAGCCUGUGGAUUGGGGAUUCCAAAUCUCUAAUCAAUUUUGAAAACCCACGAUUAAAUCUUGAUUUAUUUGGAUUUUUAGUUUGAAACCCUUGGGAGUGUUCUUGAGAAUUUNNNNNNNNNNNNNNNNNNNNNNNNNNNNNNNNNNNNNNNNNNNNNNNNNNNNNNNNNNNNNNNNNNNNNNNNNNNNNNNNNNNNNNNNNNNNNNNNNNNNNNNNNNNNNNNNNNAAAACGGAGUGUUUAAGUCACUUGAAACCAUAAGAUAUGCGCCGCAUAUGAUAUCGCAUAUAUUUACAUAGACGUCGCAUAUGAUAUCGCCUAUAUUUACAUAGGCGCCGCAUAUGCUAUCGCCUAUAUUUACAUAGGUGCCGCAUAUGCUAUCGCAUAUGCUUUCCAGUGGCCAUGUAUGAUUGGUCAGGCAACACAUUCUACUUUGAAAGGCCAUAACUUCUUGCUCGGGUGCCGAAUUUUAGCAAAAUUGGUAUCUUUGGAAAGUUAACUCGAAGACCUAUCAUUUAACACAUAAUAGGAUCUAUGUUCGACAUAUACAGAGAGUUAUGGCCGAUGGAAGCUGACACAAAUUACAACGUCCACUAAAAUUUCAUCGAUCGAAAUAGUUUUAACUUGUCCUUGAGUUGAAGGACCUCUAUGGUCUAACUUCAUGCUCAAAUAGAUUCACAUACUACAUAAUUGAUUAACAUGCCAAAUUGGCAUAGGAUUUAAGGCUUUGGGAUUAUCAACGCGUUAGAUUUAUGUUUUUAUUCUAGCCUGAAAUGCAGGGCAGGGUGUUACAUUAUCUCUCCCUUGGGAUCAUUCAUUCUCAAAUAAUGGAUAGAAUGUUGAAUUCUUAAGGGUAUGGGAUAACGCGGAUAUGAUAUGUUCCCUAAGAAAGAAUACACUGAUCGGAAACAUGACUAUAAGAUUGGAACUACUGAUGUUUUAAAUGCUUAUGCCGGACAUGCAUAUCUGAGGCAUGGAAUACACAACUGAAGCUACUCAUAGGCUGAAUUCNNNNNNNNNNNNNNNNNNNNNNNNNNNNNNNNNNNNNNNNNNNNNNNNNNNNNNNNNNNNNNNNNNNNNNNNNNNNNNNNNNNNNNNNNNNNNNNNNNNNNNNNNNNNNNNNNNNNNNNNNNNNNNNNNNNNNNNNNNNNNNNNNNNNNNNNNNNNNNNNNNNNNNNNNNNNNNNNNNNNNNNNNNNNNNNNNNNNNNNNNNNNNNNNNNNNNNNNNNNNNNNNNNNNNNNNNNNNNNNNNNNNNNNNNNNNNNNNNNNNNNNNNNNNNNNNNNNNNNNNNNNNNAGGGCACCUACGAAUUGAAUCAUAACUGAACAUCUGAAAUUUGAAUUUAAUGCAUGAUGCAUGAAUUGGGCUAUACUUGUAACUAAUGGUAUACUAUUUCUUGGAAUAUUAGCAUGUCUGAGAUUUCGAGUAGCAUGAACAAGUGUAAAAAUUAGAAAACAAGUCAUGUGAAUCUAACUGCUAAACUGACUUAUUGUCCAUAUAGACUGAAUUAUACUACACCCUCAUACUUAACUGGAGUAUCUCUUUAUCACAAUUCUCUAAAGAAAUUCUAGCAGUAAUAGUGAGCCAUGAAUCUUGGGUAUGGAUUACUCAUGACAUCCAACUGAGGAAUCACCACAUUGACACUACUCUGUAGUCUGGAACAUAGGCAUAUAACUCCUGAAUUAGGAUAGAAUUACCAGGCCUUUGGCAUUACAACUUCUUACUUUCAAGCUUAGUACACUUCUCGAAUAUCACUUAACUAUACUAUUCUCCUUAAAUAUCAUAUUCAUUCAACUCAGCUUAAAAUUCUCAUAUGAGCAUUGACAAAUCUUUCUACUAAUGUAGGAAAUAACUUAAUUCCUUUGCCGUGAUCAAGCCUAACUCUAAGUCACAAAAAUACAACAUGCCAGACCACGCUAUUAUUCUAAACCAUAUGAUGCAAUCUUCUAUAUCUCCUUUAAAUAUCACAUUCUAAGUAUAACAUGCCUUACCACUUCAAUGACUACUCUGAACUCUUACUAUGAAGUUGCUAGCGCAUAUAGCAUUCCUUUACAACAAUCUCAACAUGUAAUUUAAGCCUAUCUUUAUAACCACAUAUGAACUUUAAAGCAAACACUCAUAAAGGCAUACUUCAUAUAUUCUCUAAACCACUAUCAAUAUCACUCCCACGAGCAACCCCAAGAACAUACACAUACAAAAUUCCACUAACCAUCACAUAAAUAAAUACUUGGCCCCAAAUCUUACUUCAUACUUAUGGCCUUAUCUAACAAGCGUACUAUGAUCUUUCAUUAACAAGGAAUAAUUACUCACCACCACUAUCAUCGCAUAAGGAGGAGUCACAAAAAGGUUAGAACAUAAGAUCUGGAGGCAUGAAAUGAUACUAUAUAAAGAUUGACACUCAUUUGAGGCCUGAGGAGUAGCAAAACAACAACAUGGACUCACCAAAGCCCUUUGAAUUUAGGGUAUUCAUGGCUAUAAGCUGAAUCUCGCUAAUCAUUUGGCGUAAAACAUGAGUUAUGGAAACAGAGCACAUUAUAAAGCGUGAGUACAUGACUCUUUAUCAUAUGUAUGAAUGUGAACUGAUCAUGGAACUAAAUUGUAAAGCAUGAGUAGGUAUUAGGAUCACUGAGAAAUACUGAGAUAGGAAUGGGUUGAGAUUCACCCUUACUUUUUGAUGUUCUAUAUCAUCAUGACUUCACUAUAAGAAUUUGAGAUUCUUACUUGGUUAUUCGUUUAGUCAUCUCCCCCUUAGCUUCAAGCCACCAUCUUAAGUUUUUGGGAGAUACCUUACUAGACUUUAAACUUAACUGCAGUCACUGCACUCUGGGUUCUGAAAUAUGACAAUACACAAAAUUAAUAAAACUUAACCCGAAAGACCACAUAUGAGAGUGGAACGCCUACUACUAAUACUACCUCCUGAGGCACACUAUAUCAUUCUGUAACCUCAAUAGUCAUUAUCUAUUACUCGAACACUUACUAACUUCGAAUCUUCAUGAGUAUCCCCAAAGUUGAAGUGCACACCCUCUAGUGCCUCUACUCUUAUUUCUAUUAGCACGACUUUUAAGGACUCGAUCUUAGAUUAUAACACCUAACAUGGGUAUCACCAAGUCUUCAAUUAGCCACUCUAUUUCUAUCGUAGUCUACCAACAUANNNNNNNNNNNNNNNNNNNNNNNNNNNNNNNNNNNNNNNNNNNNNNNNNNNNNNNNNNNNNNNNNNNNNNNNNNNNNNNNNNNNNNNNNNNNNNNNNNNNNNNNNNNNNNNNNNNNNNNNNNNNNNNNNNNNNNNNNNNNNNNNNNNNNNNNNNNNNNNNNNNNNNNNNNNNNNNNNNNNNNNNNNNNNNNNNNNNNNNNNNNNNNNNNNNNNNNNNNNNNNNNNNNNNNNNNNNNNNNNNNNNNNNNNNNNNNNNNNNNNNNNNNNNNNNNNNNNNNNNNNNNNNNNNNNNNNNNNNNNNNNNNNNNNNNNNNNNNNNNNNNNNNNNNNNNNNNNNNNNNNNNNNNNNNNNNNNNNNNNNNNNNNNNNNNNNNNNNNNNNNNNNNNNNNNNNNNNNNNNNNACAACCAACCUUACACACAAUCCUUACUUAGAAACUAUGAAAUAAACAUCAAGAAACACUAGUACACUAGAAAUUCAUAACCACAAUAAUCAAUCAUGACCUUACGGUUUUCCUUGUCAUAAUCUAUUAGCACGUACUAUUUUAACACAUCAAGCUUAUAAAUCUAAUCCCACGAAACAUGUAUCAUCAAUCUCUUGCCACUAUUCACCACCACGCCAUUUAAAUUCAAGCCUAUAGUCUAGCAUCAAUCAUUUACAACCAAUGAAGAGUGCAACAUAAUAUAAAUAUACUAAUCCUUCAAAUUGGGAUAUUCAACCCAAAUACUUCAAAAAUAUACUACAUACUUUCUCACAAGUAGUAUUAGUUUACAAUUACCAAUGAGAAGAAGGUUAAGGGGUAAGGUCACAUAAUAGACAUAAUCAACCUUAAGCUUAUAUUAUAACCAUACAAUCUUAUCUACUUAUACAGCUUUCUCACAUCACACUUACCCCAAUGGGCAUUUAGACUACCUUCAGAUACCCCAUAUGGCAAUGAGUCUAUACUUACAACCUACUGGCUAAUCUAGUCAUUUUCAUUCAUAGCCUAUAAGGGGUUUUUAUAACUACCUAAGUAUCUACUCUGGGCUCUUUCUCUAUUUUGAAAGGAAGAAAACAAAUAACAUUCUGAGUCAACACUUCCUCCACGGACUACCAUACAAUUCAUAACAUUUUGAGUCAACACUUCCUCCACGGACUACCAUACAAUUCAUAAAUGGUACCACCACAUUAGUCUACCACUAAGAAAGGGUAAAUCAUUCUCAAUCAACGGUUAUUCAACUAUAAAUAUUUAAUCACAAAAGUCACCCUCACUUUGACCUCUAACCUUAUGACUUCAUAUCAUAAACUUCUUGGUCUAAUUUCACUACCAAUAGGUCAUGACACCAACACUCUAACUUAUACUACUACUCGGGUGGAAAUACAGUUCCAACAAACACAAGAACAACAAGAUGAACAACAAGUUGCUAGUGAAUCGAAAUAGGCCUCACAUGGAUUCACUAGACUUUUAUUUUCAACAACACAAUGAUAUCAAGAUUAAAAGAGAUAGAAGCUUGAUACACAAUAUUCAAUGACUCAAGAAUACACAUCUUACUCUUGUCUUAACUGAACGCCUCAUAAGAACAAGGACAUAAUUUUACACUAAGGAACUCCUCUCCCGUCCUUUGUGGGACUUCUGAAAUUUCUGCUAGAUAAUCGAAGAAUAUUUGGAAACACCAGAGUGAGGAAGAAAUUAGGAUAACUUUUCUUUUUGUAUGGGUGACACCAUAGCACGAAUUAGAGUAUGAAGAAGAAACAUUCUGACUCUAUAACACUAACUAGAACAUGAAGAAACAGAGACAUUCCUAAAUACCUUGUAGCCUCCUGUUUAUAAGUGUGGCGCGCUACACAACCAUAAAUAAGACUCUACCUGACGUGAUUUUCCAGACACCCUAGGACCAUGAACCGUGCUUUGAUAACAAGUUUUUCACGACCCAAACUGGGGCCUUGAUGGUGACGAGCAUUCCCAAACCCGAAGGCCUGCAAUGCCCUCUAUCUAUCUGGUAAUCAUGUACAUAAUUCAUAUGAUCAAAGUAAUACGGAAUAGACACAAUAAUACAGAAACAUGGUCAACAAUUUAAAAUAGUUAAGGACCUGAAAACAUGCCCAAUAAUAUUUAAUAAACAUCUGCAAUAGUCUUCGAAAUCUCUACUGACGUACUAUCUGAAUAAUUGGGAUAAGGCCCCCAGCAGACCAAAAACCAUACUGAAAUAAAUACCUAAAUGACUAGGCCUUCCGAAGCAAAGAAGGCUCACCAACUGAACUCUGAGACAACCCUGUCUGUAGACUCUACCGAGGAUCUGGACCCUUAGCUUGCGCCUUAGUACCUAGGAGGAAAUGGGGGGCAGCACAAUUGUACUGGCACACGAAGCAAUCCAAAAUAGAGUAAUUGAACAUAUAUAUAUAUAUAUAUAUAAUAUGUGAGAGAAAAUGUUCAUCAAACAUUAUGCAUAAAACAGUAAAACAGUUUUUGAAAAAACACAUGGGCACCUUUUGAAAACAUGUAACCUAUCUGUAAAUCUCACACUCUGAUCUGUGUAUUACUUCUGAGUUAGGUGCUAUCCCCUACGGGCGAUAUAGAAUCCGCCAUUGACUUGGCCGGGAAGCCUCCAACCCGAGUAUGCCACAAGGGUUGGAGUUCGUAAAUCAAAUACGCCACAAAACACUUAAGUCAGCGUAUAAUAAUAUCCCCGAGUCGGACAACCACGAUUUUAGGCAAUGAGUUGCUUGAACUCAAGCCCUCUUUAGGGAACCACCUAAUAUCUCUGUAUGACCAUUUUUAACCUUUUCUGUACAUGCAACAUUCUGAAUAUCUAAAAUCAUGAUAGUCUGAAUGUCUAUUAGUCUGAGUUUGAUAUGACAUUGGUUUGAAUUGGUAUCUUCAUACAAAGACUUGCAAUUCAUGAUUUUUGAUCCAUAAUACAUUAAGCUAAAUCUUUCAUUUAAAGCAUAAUUUAGACUACCAAAAACAUGCAACUAAUAUAGAAGAUUUCGUGUUUCAAAACUCAAGUCAAAAUCAUGCAAAAACUUCAUCAACAUAUAGUGGUCUAGUGCCUUUAGCAAAUCCAUGCACUCUUUCAUUACAUGCAUUAUGAACAUUAAACAUUUAUGCUAGAUUCCCUCUUUAGUGAUUUAAAACCACCUUAAAAUCAUAACAAGAGUUCAAUAAUUUCAUAUAGUUUUUUUCAGGGAUGCCUUGCAAAACAAUUCAUAUGCUAUGAGAAAUCUGAAAAAUUCACUAAAGAGGAAAUUCACCAAAAAUCAUGCUCUCAACAAGAAUUCAUUCUUAAAUACAACGUUUCAUAAAUUCAUAUUCUCAAAUCACUUUGGAGAAGGUCAAAAGACCAAAACAAUGAUGUUAAAACAUUUAAUACAUGAAUAUAUACAUAGAUUCAAAAACCCCAUUCUAAAACAUGAUUUUCUAUGCCCAUGAGAAUUUAGAAAAAUCCCGCGUACCUCUAUUUCAGAAAAUAAUGGGUGCUUCUUAAAGCCUGUGGAUUGGGGAUUCCAAAUCUCUAAUCAAUUUUGAAAACCCACGGUUAAAUCUUGAUUUAUUUGGGUUUUUAGUUUGAAAACCUUGGGAGUGUUUUUGAGAAUUGGAAAAGGACCAUUUUUCCCCCAAAAAUGGAGUGUUUAAGUCAGUUGAAACCAUAAGAUAUGCGCCGCAUAUGAUAUCGCAUAUAUUUACAUAGGCGCCGCAUAUGAUAUUGCCUAUAUUUACAUAGGCGUCGCAUAUGCUAUCGCCUAUAUUUACAUAGGCGCCGCAUAUGUUAUCACAUAUGCUUUCCAAUGGCCAUGUGCGAUUGGUCAGACAAUGCAUUCUACUUUGAAAGGCCAUAACUUCUUGCUCGGGUGUUAGAUUUUAGCAAAAUUGGUAUCGUUGGAAAGUUAACUCGAAGACCUAUUAUUUGACACAUAGUAGAAUCUCUAAUUCAAUAUAUACAGAGAGUUAUGGUCGAUGGAAGCUGACACAAAUUAUAACUUCCACUAAAACUUAAUCGAUCGAAAUAGUUUCAACUCGUCCUUAAGUUGAAGAACCUCUAUGGUCUAAAUUCAUGCUCAAAUGGAUUCACAUAAUACAUGAUUGAUUAAUAUGCCAAAUUGGCAUAUGAUUUAAGGCUCUGGGAUUAUCAACGCGUCAGAGUCAUGAUUUUUAUUCUAGCCCAAAAUGCGGGGUGUUACAAGCUUGGACCAUAAUAUAAACCAGUUCAUCACGAUCACUCGACUUACCUUUGCUUUUUUUGGGCGUGCAAGAUGUUUUUUUGGGGUCAGAGUAGGUAUAACUUGAGAAGGAGAAGGAAGAUAACAUUUUAGUCCAGUAACUAUGGCAAACUCCUUCCAAUUAAAACAAACAGGCAUGCCACAGUAAUUUAUCCACACCUCAUCCAUCUUAUGCACCAGGUAGUUUAUCUGAUGCAACAUAUAACCAACCUGUUGAAACUGAUGAGUAAACCAUUAGAAAUCAUAAAAAUAGAUCACUAAUCUGUUGCACUAGGUAGUUUAUCUGUUUCAACAUAUAACCAACCUAUUGCAAUGGAUGAUUACUCCGUUGGAAAUAAUAAAAAUAGAUCACUCAUCUGUUGCACCAGGAUGUUAUCUGUUGCAACUUAUAACCAACCUGUUGCAACGGAUGAGUAAUCCAUUGAAAAUAGUAAAAAUAGAUCACUAAUCUAUUGCACUUGGUAGUUUAUAUAAUGCAAUAUAUAACCAAUCUGUUGUAAGACAUGAGUAAAAAUAGAUCACUAAUCUGUUGCACCAGGUAGUUUAUCUGUUGCAACAUAUAACCAACCUAUUAUAACGAAUGAGUAAUCUAUUGGAAAUAGUAAAAUUGGUCACUGAUCUGUUGCACUUGAAAGGUUAUCUGUUGCAACAUAGAACAAACCUAUUGCAAUGGAUGAGUAAUUCAUUGAAAAUAGUAAAAUAAAUCACUGAUCUAUUGCACCUAGCACGUUAUCUGUUGCAACAUAUAACCAAUCUGUUGCAAUGGAUGAGUAAUUUGUUGGAAAUAAUAAAAUAGAUCACUAAUCUAUUGAAACAUAUCACUCAUCUAUUGUAAAAUGAGUUAUCUGUUGGAUCAAUAUUAUUUAGAUUUCUUCCAAACAGAAGAGUCGUCUAUCACAACAAAUGAAUGAUUUGUUAGAUUAUUCAUAUGUUACAUCAGCUUUUCAUAGUUGCAUCAGAUUUACAUCUGUUGCAACAAAUGUUUUCAUCUAUCGGAUAAGAUGUUUCAUCUGUUUCAUCAGAUGUUGCAUCUCUUGCAACACCAUUUUUACCAAGACAAACAACAAAUUAACCCAGUAACACCAACACAUCACACAUAUACACUAAUAACAUCAACGAUGAUAAAAAAUUAACAACAAAUUUGAAUCAAUAGUUCGACAACAAGAAGAAGAAAAACCAGAAAUUAGGAUUUUAUUUAGUCCAUAUUUCAAAUUUAAGCAAGAAAUAUUGAAAUUGUUAACCAAUACUAGAAGAUUAGUUGACUCAAGUUCCUCUGUUUCUUCAUAAUUUUUCACCUGUGAAAAAAGAAAUAGGACGGCGAAGAACUCGAAGUUGUUAUUGCCGGAGAAGUCUUCACGUCGAUUGACGAUUGAAAGUCAAAAAGAAAGUCGCCCGACUAUUUAUCGUCGGAGGUUGAAGUCGUCGGGGAUUGAAUGGAGAAAUUUUGCAGAACAGUUGGUUGUGAGAGAGUUGAGAGAAGUUAUUGAGAGAGAGGGGAGAGAGACGGUUGAUUUGGAUUGAAGAGGGGUAUGGGCUGGGUUAAUUUGUAUUUUUUAAAAGAUUAGAAAGUUUUGAAAAUAUUAAUCAAGUCCACAAUUAACUUAAUCAAUUUUCAUGAUGAUGUUUGACCCUUUAAGUUGGUCAAUGUAACCAAUUCUUCAUUCAAGACUUAAAGGACACCUUUCCUUUAAUUUUCUCAUGUAAAAUGAGUGUUUGUUUCUUCAACUUUUUGCUCAUUUUGAUUCUCCUCCUAAGCCUUUGUUUACUUAUGGGCUCAGAAUAAACAGUGGUUUCUGUUUUUGAUUGCCAUGUUUAUUUUUAGUUGUCACAUUUUAUUUUUCAAUACUCAAACUGCAUGAGUUUUGACCAACAUCUAAAAAUAUAUUUUUUUGUCAUAUUAACAUGAGACAGCUUGCGACUUAUCUCAUUUUUAGUUUUCAAAUAUCUAAAUUUUAAAUUUAAAAUAGUAAAUUAACCCACUUCAGUUUAGCUUUGAAGUUUAAUCAAAUUGAUUUUCUUAAAGUGAAAUGUGACGAAUAAAAAUGAACGGAAGGAGUACUUGAUAGAGUUUAUUCUACUGAUAGACCCAAUUUUGAUAUAUUUUUGAUAAUGAUCAGACAAUAUGCAAGGUCAACUACGAUUCUAUUUUCCAGAAUCAUAUACAUUAAGGAGUCAUUCAGUAGAAUGUAUAAGAACAGUAUCAAAUAUGGUGGGAUAAAUUUCAUCCAUGGUCACUUAACUUUAUAUCUAUUAUCCAAAAAUUACUUUUCUUUCAUUCAUUUCAUCCAUGGUCACUUAACUUUGUAUCUAUUACUCAAAAGUCACUUUUCUUUCAUUCAUUGCAUCCAUGGUCAUUUAACUUUACUCCGAUCAUCACAAAAGUUACUAUGAUCGGAUUUUACAAUAAUUUCAUCGAAAAAAUGAUGUGACAACCUUAAUUAGUUCUUAAUUUUUAAUUUAAGUGAAUAUAUAAUAUAUUACUCAUAUCUUGACCCUUUUUAUAUAUGCAUAACCCAAUUUUCUUUAUUGAUUAUUUAAGAAAAAAAAAUACAUAAAGUUGCAUACUUAAGUAUUAAAUUACAAAAAAUAGCACACUUUUAUCAAAUUACAUUUUGUAGCAUAUGUAUUUAUAUGUAUUUGUAUUUUUGUAGCAACAGUUUGCAAAAAUACAAAAUACAUAUCGAUCAUAAGGGCAGUAAAAUCAUAUGUAUUUGUAUUUUUGUAGCAACAGUUUGCAAAAAUACAAAAUACAACUUGCUAUAGUAUGUAAUUAUGAAACCGUUGCUAUGAGACUCAUAAUUAAGGGGAUAAGUAUGCUAUUUAUGAAUUUUCCACAUCAUUUAAUGAAAGAAUACCAAUUUCUUCAAGAUUAGAUUAUCUAAUGAAGACUAUUUUCAUAAAAAAAAUCUGGUUGAUAUUUUUAUGAAAUAAAAUUAUACUUAUAUAUUCUUAAAAUCCUGUAAAGUUGAUACAUGUGUUGGUAAAUUAUUUUUUCCACUAAUAUAUUAUGGCAUGUAAUUGAUAAAAUUAUUUUUCUCCCUCUAAAAUUGUGACAUAUAGUUGAUAAAAAUAUUUUUUUCAUACAUUUUUUUUCUGGCCACUUGAGUCUUUGCAUUCGGUAUAUCAUAAUAAUAUGAUAAACUACUCUAUUUAUUGAGUUUGUUUUUGUAUUUUAAUUGUUUGACUAAUCGAUUAAUUCUCUUAAAAGUUUUUCUUAUAAUAUUUAAUUUAUGAUAAAUUACAUAUUCUUUAAUUAAUUUAAUUGAUAAAUAUAAAAAUUAGAUAUCCUAUAAUUUCUUUAUCUAUUAAAGUACUUUUAUUUUAUAACUUUUAUUAACAAAACUGUACGUUAAUAUAAUAUUAUUUGUGGAAAUUUUGACAAUAUUUAUUCAAUGACACAAUUAAAAAGAUUUUAUUUUAAAACUAUCUUUAGCAUGUUGAUUUAUCUUCAAAGAAUUAAAGUAAUUUUUUUUAAAAAAUAAUAUCAUACAGGUAUUUCUAUUUUAUGUGUUUUGAAGAAUUAACCUUAUUUAUCACUCUUUUUCGAUGCACCUUUUUGGCAUAUGAAUGCAAUAUUAUGAAAUGUUUCCUAAAAAUAUCAACCAAAUUUUUUUAUGUAAAUAAUCUUCAUUAGGUAAUCUAAUCUAUUAAGAAAUUGGUAUUCUUUCAUUAAAUAAUCCAUAAGGAAAAUUGGGUUGUGCACAUAUAAAAAAGUCAAGAUUUGAGUAAUAUAUUAUAUAUAUUCACUUAAAUUAAAAUUAAGAACUAAUUAAGAUUGCCACAUCAUUUUUCUGAUGGAAUUAUUGUAAAAUCCGGUCAUAGUGACUUUUGUGAUGAUCGGAGUAAAGUUAAAUGACCAUGGAUGAAAUGAAUGAAAGAAAAAUGACUUUUGUGUAGUAGAUACAAAGUUAAGUGACCAUAGAUAAAAUGAAUGAAAGAAAAAUGAAUUUUAUAUAGUGGAUGAAAUUUACCCAAAUAUGGUGUAUUCGUAAUGUGCAUUAUUUCCUAUUUAUCCAGAAACAUAAAUGAAUACAUACAAAACACAGCAUUUAAGGAGAGUUGCAGCAGGGAAAUGUAGGUCCAUGUGAAAUCAAUUGGACAAAAUUGACAUUUAGAAGAAGUGGCUUGACUUUUUUGCCAUUUGAAAAUUUAUGGCCAAGCUUUAAGCUUAAAGCAUAAGUAAGCAAUGCAAGGAUUUUUUUAAAUGACUAUAAUAGCCUUGAUUGUCCUACUAUUAAGUACUGUAAUAAAUAAUUUGCAAAGGUUGGUUGGGAGUUGAGAUGAAAAAACUGAUAACAAUAACACAUGCAAAUUAAUGCAAAAGUUUUCAAGCCAGCAUAGUUGUUGGAACAUUGAUACAUCUAAAUAUUACUGACCUCACAAAUCAUUUUCCCCUGUACUUUCUUGUGAUCAUGUAUACUACUUUUGUCCCAAAAAAAAACUGACUUUAAAAAUUUGUAGUUGUGGCUUAGUAAACAAUGUGGAACUCCUUAUCAAUAACAGCUGAAAAUGGAGCUAGCAAAGAUGAAGAAGAUCUUUUGUUGGCUGCUUUGCAGAGAUCUCAUACUAAUAUUCGAGCCCGGACAUCGAUCUUUCGAGGGAUUGGUGGAGAGGUUUCUUUGGUUGAUGUUGGUAAAAUGAAAGGUGAAGAGCAAAAGGAAGUUUUGGAUGUGUUGAUUAAUGCUAUUAAUGAAGAUACUGAGUUGUUCUUCAGAAGAGUUAAGGAGAGAUUUGAGAGGUAAGUUUCUUUUGUCUUUUAUUUGCCACAUAGCUUUAGUUGUUAUUUGUGCAUUUUGUGCUUGGUAGGUGGUACUAAUUUGUCUGGAGUUUUCCAUUUGCAUAAAGAAAAUUCACUUGCUUGACAAUAAUGUUUGUAGUUUGGUACUGUUGACAUUGAAGUUGUACUACUUCUUAUCCUUCGUUACCAAGAAAUAAGAUAAAAGGGCAGCCCGGUGCACUAAAGCUCCCGCUAUACGCAGGGUCCGGGGAUGGCCCCACCACAAGGGUGUAUUGUAUUCAGCCGUACCUUACAUUUCUGCCAGAGUCUCUUUCCAAGACUUGAACCUACGACCUCCUAGUCACAUGGCAGCAAGUUUACCAAGAAAUAAGAUAAUAGAACAAUAAUGAUAAUGAAGGAAAGAAAAUGUCAGCUUACAUAAACGGACAUUGUCGUAGAAUUUUCACACUACCAGUGUAUUUUGACUGCCUUAUUUUCUGGUUUACUGACCCUUUCUAUAGCUAUAGUUAUCUUUUACUUGAACUGAUAGUUAUAGUCAGUGUAGCUAAACUCGAAAAGGAAAGACCAACCUGCGCUCCACUUUCCGCACAAUGCCUGAUUUUAGUCCUCAUGUUACUUAAUGCUGAUAACUAACAUCAUGCUAUAUCAUGUAAAGAAGGCAAGAAAUUUACUUUGUUGUUCGAAUUCGAUUCUCGAUGGUAAACAGGAUGAGUUUCUGAAAUUGAAAGAGCUAUGUGGCGUGUUAAGAGUCUUAGCCUUUAUAGUUGUGAAUGAUUCAAAUUCCAAUUAGUUGCCGAUCUUUAGUUAUGGUUAAUCAUUGGAAUUUGAACUUCUAGUUCAAAGUUGAAAAAAAUGGAGAAUUACCAUAAGUAGAGGAUCAACAUUGAAAUCUGUAUAUCAUUUAGGAUCAUUUUAAAUUUGGAUCUAUUGGUUGAAGAAAGAUAUGUGAUCUGUUGGAGUCCACAUCGAUGGGUUAAAGGGUCCUUGGUCUCCUUAUAUGGUCUUGGGCAAUCCUUCCCUCAUGAGCUAUUUUUUGAGGUUGAGUUAGGCCCAAGGUCUAUUUCUUUAUCACGGUAUCAGAGACAGGCCCACCCAGUUCAUUGUUUCCGAUGUUGGGCCCCCCAUCUUAUAUUGUCCACUCUCUAGAUGUCCAGCCCUGGGCGUGCGAGGGGGUGUUGGAGUCCCACAUCGGUGGGCUAAAGGGUCCUUGGUCUCCUUAUAUGGUCUUAGGCAAUCUCUUGGGCAAUCCUCCCCUCAUGAGCUAGCUUUUGAGGUUGAGUUAGGCCCAAGGUCCAUUUCUUUAUCAUGAUCUUAUAGAAAGACAUUUUUCAUCUUCAACUUGAAUUUUUAGAAUGAUGUUUGACAUGCUUAUUAUCAUGACAAAUUAUGAGCUGUAAGAAUAUUAGUUUGAAUUGUAUAUUAUCAUUCAUAGCGAUAACAAUUUUCAGGCUAUUUAAUCAACUUGUAAUGUGUAUCAUCCAUAUGAUCUUCAACAUCAUUCAUUGUAUUGGUUAUAUUAAGCAUAUCGAACUAAUCUAACUUUCAGGGUGAAUUUGGAAUUCCCCAAAGUUAAGGUUUGCUUUCAGCAUCUUAAAGUUGAUGCAAUGGUCCAUGUAGGAAGCAGAGCAUUGCCUACAAUUCCCAACUUUGUAUUCAACAUGACUGAGGUAAACCUGCAGAUCUCAUGUAUCUGCUAAAUUACGAUUUCACUGUGCUUAGUCUGACAAUGUUUCAUGAGACAGACUUACUUGAGACGGUUGAGGAUUUUUCCAAGUCGGAGAAAGAAAUUAUCUAUCCUAAACAACAUAAGUGGUGUUAUACGGCCAUCAAGGUACAACUUUUGCUCCAAUGAAGUGUUUAUUGUGUCCUCGAGUUAUAUUUGAAAUCUCCGGAGGUGGUCUCUUGUCUUUCAGGUUGACACUUCUUUUGGGUCCGCCUAGCUCUGGAAAAACAACACUGCUUUUGGCACUUGCUGGCCGCCUUGAUAAGAAUUUGAAGGUACAAAUCUUUACAUGUUCCAUCACAAUGCCUGUAAUUAUUUUUAUUGAAGGAACAACUUUGUUGGUAUUGCACUGCUCAGCCAUUAAGCAAUAUAAACCUGUCACUAUCAUAUAGAUCCACCUGCAAUCACUUUAUAAGUGCACCAAUUGUGUAGUUAUUUUUGCACUAUCAAUGCAUAUAACUUAACAAUGUAAAAGCUUGAAUUGGUUUUAAGAGGUGGUAUGACAUACAUCAUUCUACAAUGACUGGUUUCCAGUACUGGAAAUUGAGAACAAGCGUACAUGCUAUUUUUCCUUUCUUCAACUCUUCAUAUACCUCCUCGGAUAUCGCUACUAGAAUAUCCAUGAUAUAGUACUUCAAAAUUUUAAUUCAUCUAAACAUAAUUUUAUGGUGCAAAGUUGAUGAAAAUUGAUCUUUUUUGUUCAAGAAGGCAUUCUAGCUACCUUUUGUUUUGGGAAGAUUGUUUUUAUCUCUCAUUAAUGCAGUUAACUUACUAUGAAGAUGUCAGGAAGAGUUACCUACAAUGGACAUGAUCUGAAGGAGUUUGUUCCUCAACGGACUACUGCAUACGUCAGCCAGAGGGAUUCACAUAUUGCCGAAAUGACAGUGAGGGAGACACUUGAGUUUUCUGGACGUUGCCAGGGUAUCGGUUUUAAGCAUGGUAUUGUCUAGACCUGCUUCAGUCAAUCAUGCAAUCUUUUACGCAUAACAUUUUCUAGUUGAAUUUGAUACAAAACCAUCAAAAAUUGCGCAGAUUUUCUUAUGGAACUUCUAAGAAGAGAGAAAAAUGCUGGGAUAAUUCCUGAUCAAGAUCUUGAUAUUUUUAUUAAGGUAAGACGUCUACAUGAAAGUUUGCAGUUCAACGUUAUAUGUGUAGAAAAACCGCUUCAUCUCAUGUUGAUGUAAUUGUUUUCUAUUAGGCAGUAGCACUGGGAGAACAGACAAGUAUAGUUGUAGAUUACAUUCUAAAGGUAUGUUAGCAGUGAGGCUUUGUUAAAUAUAUUUUUUUUCUACAUCCGUUGUUAGUUUAACUUUUACAUUCCGAAAUGGUAUUACGAACCUUGCAUUUUUCUAAUGACUGCAUGGCAUUUCACUAGACAUGCUCUAUGUGAAAGAUACAUAAAAUUGAUUACAGGAAAAUUAUGCUCCAAUUUAUCGAAAUCAUUGUUGUUUUAUCUUCUGUAGUCUGUACAAUUCUUCAAUAGUCUUGUUCUGGAUAAAAAGAUACUAGCUUUAUAGACUUAAUUGUACUUUGCGGACUAUUGUUUGGGCAUAUUUGUUUUAUAUCCUUCUGAAAUAUCUGCAAAGAUUUUAGGAUUGGAUACUUGUGCGGAUACAUUAGUAGGAGAUGAAAUGAUCAAAGGGAUCUCAGGGGGGCAGAAGAAGCGCCUCACUACUGGUACUUGCCUUCAUUUCUGCUAGCUGCUAUCUGCUUGUUUAAAUUCAUCCAAAAAAUGUUUAAAAAAAGGCAUUGCUUGGAUUAUUGAAGUUCUGAGACAUGUAUUCAGGUGAGUUGCUAAUGGGUGCAUCAAGGGUACUCUUAAUGGAUGAAAUCUCAACCGGGCUAGAUAGUUCAACUACCUAUCAAAUCAUCAAGUACUUAAAGCACACGACUCAUGCAUUUGAUGGGACUACCCUGGUUUCUUUAUUGCAACCUGACCCUGAAACUUACUGUCUGUUUGAUGAUAUAAUUCUUUUGAGUGAGGGCCAAAUCAUUUAUCAGGGCCCCCGCGAAAUUGUUCCUGAGUUCUUUGAGUUUAUGGGUUUCAAAUGCCCCUCCAGGAAAAAUGUUGC